This 81341-nucleotide long non-coding RNA is filed under the name Triticum aestivum (bread wheat). RNAcentral describes it as "long non-coding RNA (TAES_LNC004703)". Lineage: Eukaryota; Viridiplantae; Streptophyta; Magnoliopsida; Poales; Poaceae. The record is from RNAcentral.
UAAAAAUCAUAGUUUUUCUCAGUUUUGAUAAAACUGCCGAGGUGUUUGGCAAGUGGUAGUUUUUUUUUUAGUUUUCUUUGGUUUGGAUUGUUACGUUGUUGCAUGCAUAUUCAGCUAUACUAACGGAUCAGCUUGUACUAAUAGCAACCAUAUACAUUCAACCUUGCACGAGCAUGUUCUCUCCUACUCCGUAGAUGCUAGGAUCUGUAGUAGAGUUAUCUUUUAUAAUCAAUCAAGGACCGAGGUAGUUAAGACAUGCACUGAAGGUCUACGUCUGCAGCUCAUGCGUCCAUGUGUUUUCAGCCGGCGGCUAAGUUCAUUUGUAAGUGUACUUCCGCCUCGAACCGGACAGAUCGAUCGGCUAGCUAUUGAUUUAUGUACCACAGGCGUUGAUGGCCAGAAGUUGGACACAAAGAGACCAAGCAGCCAGCGUUUCUCAGUUUUUAAAAAAGAGGCCAGGGCCUCUUUUUAUAUACUACAAAAAUACCAUAAUUUUAGAGAUGCCACGGUUUGUUAAACUGCAGUAUUUUUUUCAUCCAAACGGCUCAAAGUAUUGAAUAUCAAGGUUUUUUCAGAAACCACAAUAUUCUUAAGAAACUACAAAAUACUUUGGCUCCCAAACGCACCAUAAAUCAAUGGAUCUGUGAUUGCAGUGGAUGUUGCUACUUCUAGAAAGGCGUAAAGAUGAGAUGGGCACGAGAGAAGCUUCACAACAUGAUCAACAAUCUUCAACUGGUGCACAAUGGGGAUCAAGGUGUUGGAUGCUUUGUGUUAUCUCUUACUUCUCGGUGUUUGCAUGCGCUUCUUUCAUUUAUAUUGUUGCGGAUGACUAUAUUUCUGAUUUUGGUUGUGUGUUUUUUGGAUCCAGUAGCGAGUGAAAUCUUGUUGGUUGUUCCCUGACGACGAGGGCGAUUGUUUCAUUUUUAUCCUGGCUUCUUAAUUACCCUGGCAUUUCUCCCUUAAUGAAAAUGGCAUGAAAAGAAAAGAUGGACAACAAUAACUCAACGCGCGAAGCCGUUCAUUUUUCGGCUGCGAGGGAGUGACAUCCAGUCUUCAUGUCGAUUUGGGAACCGGGGCAAGCCUUUACUCAAAAAGGCUUUCGUCCCGCUUUAUAUAUAAAGCACCGAUCAACAAGCAUCCAGUACAAACGCACGUCACCAUUACACACGCACACACUCAAGGCAGGAUACAAAGGCGCUGAGCACAGCAACACCACCCCUAGCACUAUCAUCACGAAGAGAUGAAGCUACAUAUGACGAUCCAUGAGCUCCAAAGCGGCGCCUUCAGGAAAGGGACGACACCGACGCGCCGCAACCGCCCGAUCCAAGGAUCAGAGUUUCCCCUGGGGCUGCAUGAUGGGCAAUGAGAGCCGCGACGAUGCCUUCAAGAAGGGAACAAUCUUCGCCACCGCCGGUCCGUCCGAAGAUAGAACAGGUUUUCACCUCGGCCAACACUCACCGCCACCGAACGCCACACCCCGGCUACCACGCCGCCCACACGGCCAUGGCGAGCGGGCAGCACCAAGCAACGGGCUCUGCCCAAGAGCACCGCGCUACCACCACCAGGGCCGCCGCCCCGACAUCCAAGACCUUGACACCACCUCACCCGAGACCCGCCGCUACCCCAACCAAAGAGACGAGCGGAAAGGUCCCACCUUUCGCACCCCUGGGCGACCCCCAUCGUCGAGACCCGAUAGGCCGGCCAGAACUGGAAUCCAUCAGCCCGUCCUGCAGCCCCGAGAGCGAGACGAACUCGAUCCUGCAGCACCGUGAGGGGGACGAGGUCAGUCCUGCUGCACCGUGCGCGAGACGAGCUCGGUCCUGCUGCACUGUGCGCGAGACGAGCGAUGGACCGCAGCUGGGAGAGGGCCAGCCCUUGGAUGGAAGUAGUGCCCGGACGACGAGGAGAUGGGGCGAAGGUCAAGACGGUCCGAACGCGGACGAGCCGACGCCGGAGAAGCCGGCCGUCGCCGCAGUCAGAGCCGUCGAGCCACCAUGAAGCCGCCACGACACCGAGAGGCCACCACCAACGCCGGACCUCCCGCGCCGCCGCCCACGGCCAGAGCAACAGCCACGCCCGGCCGCUGCCCACCCGCGUCGCCCGGCAAGCUCCAAGCGUCGGAGCAGCCGGGCACACACCAUCGAUGCCACACGCCGGAGCGCCAGCCACCACCACAGAGCAUGCGCAUCCACGCCCUGGCCAACACCACCGGAAGCCCCACCAUCCCACCGGAGAAGCACAACCACCAGCAGCACCACCACCACCUUAGCAGGGCCGCCAGCCGUCCCCGCCACCACCAACCCCCAACACCAACCAGAUCUGGGCAGAGCCACCCAGAUCCGCCGCCAGAGCAACCCGCCUCCUCGGAUCCCCACAAGCCGCCGCUGGAGGGGGGAGGGAGGAGAGGGGGGCACUCCUGCGGGCCACCAUGACGCCGGGGAGNNNNNNNNNNNNNNNNNNNNNNNNNNNNNNNNNNNNNNNNNNNNNNNNNNNNNNNNNNNNNNNNNNNNNNNNNNNNNNNNNNNNNNNNNNNNNNNNNNNNNNNNNNNNNNNNNNNNNNNNNNNNNNNNNNNNNNNNNNNNNNNNNNNNNNNNNNNNNNNNNNNNNNNNNNNNNNNNNNNNNNNNNNNNNNNNNNNNNNNNNNNNNNNNNNNNNNNNNNNNNNNNNNNNNNNNNNNNNNNNNNNNNNNNNNNNNNNNNNNNNNNNNNNNNNNNNNNNNNNNNNNNNNNNNNNNNNNNNNNNNNNNNNNNNNNNNNNNNNNGGGGCUGAGGCGGCGGCGCUAGGGAAGCCGCCCGGAGUUGCCCGCGGGAGCGACUCGGCUGGUCACCGGGGCAAGCCUUUCAAAGGAGAACAAAUCCAAGAAACUGCCCGGAUUAGCUGAUGUAACAUCAACCGACAUUGGGCCACUGACAGGUGGGGGAGCAUGUUUGGGGCCCCACACAUGAGUGGCCCUAGAUCAGCCCAGGUAAAAGUCAGCGAUUCACAACCCCAUCCAGUCGUAGUGCCGCGCGUACGAGUCAGAGAUGGACCGGACAUGCAUGUGCAGUCCAAGUGCGAUGCCGUCCGCAGUUUCAUACUCCUACAUGCAACUGGAUCCUGUCGUCCUGCUGCUGACGAGGAAUGAAACGGGCCGGAGAAGGGCCGUCGGCGUCGUGUGUGGACAGAGACGUCGGAAUCCAAGAAGAAGAGGACACCCGCCGGACACUGGUCACCAGCUCCGUCGACGGAUGGCCGGACCGGAAUUGUUAAUGCUCGAUCAAAAACAAUGAAUGUGCUAGCUGCAUCUCGCUAGCCACCUGCCCGCACAUGCCGCGCGUUCCCGUGCAUGCAUGCAUGACUGAACUGCAACUUUGACAAGUUCGUCCUCCCUGAGACCGGCCUCAGGUCUGAACCGCAUGACCGCCGUCUUCCUGUUUCUUGCGGCCGACCCAGACGGAGCGGACCCAGACGAGUUCGUCGGAGGCUUCACACACACAGGAAUCACGUUAUCACAGCACAUUUUGUUCCAUCCAUCGUCACGUGACCUGCUACAGGGCAGCGACAGUGCUGUGAGGCACGAGCGCAGAGCACGUACAGCGAAAAUGGCGACCGCGGUACGUACGAGGAAACGUUCUGCUCCAGAGCCGUGAGCGCCGUCGCCACUGGUGCCAGGCCCUGGCCACCCACGGCCAAGGCAGUCAGGGCAGGCUCACUCGUCGCCAUCCGCCGCGACGACAUGCAUAUGCAUGAACGUAAUCGAAAGGGAGUCUUCCGUUGAACUGAUUCAGGCGAGAUAUUUAGGGCCAAGCGUGCCGUUCCCACUCGUUAGAUACGUACGUAUGUUUCGGCCUCUUGUCAUCUGCCAGUGUCUGUCACGGGUACUAGAACAGAAGCCGCCAGUAGGAUAUCAGAGCGCCGCCUUUGAUUUCAUCCUGUGACGAUCCGUGCACGGGACGCUUCCGGAAAUCAAUCAGAGUACAUUUGUUUAGAGCAAAAACGUCGUGCCAUUGCAAAAUGCCAAGAAGAAGAACACGCUUGAUUUGUAAUCUGUAUGUAUAUCAAGAGACGCAAUUAGAACGGCAUCAUGGAUGGGGCCAGGCGACGUGGUCGUCCUACAUGUGCAGUACGUACGUACGUGGUCUAAUGAUGAUGAAGGCCGCCGGAAUGAUAAGAUGGAUCAAGAGAGAGACACGCACUGCAACCUCUGCCUUGAUCCGGCCGUGCCUUCCAUAUGUGUAUCGGCGAACAUGCAUGCCUGUGAUGCGCGAUCGAAAAUCCCACCUAGGAGUGUCUCAACAUGCGUGCACGUGGCCAUGUCCACGCACCAAAAUGAUCAGAAUAUGUCCUUGUGUUCACCCGAAAUGCCGGCACUCGCUCUGCACCAUAAUAUAAAACGUUUUGUAGUUUAAUAAAUCUUGAAAAAUGAUCAGAAUGUGUCGUUGUGUUCACCCGAAAUGCCGGUACUCCCUAUGUACCAUAAUAUAAGACGUUUUGUAGUUUAAUAAAUCUUGAAAUACGCACGAGUCUUGUUCGUUGGAAUGGAGAAGAUAUUAUAAAAUUUGGAGACCCAACAACAAAUUAAUAUAAACUAAAUGUGCACGAUCCAUCAUUCAUUUUGCUUAUUUAUGUCCCUUUAAUAAUUAUUAUUUUUGAGAAAUCGUAUUCUGUUAUGCAAUGUUUUGAAAAUUAAGUUUUUGUCAUGGCUCUAGAUUUUCCAUUGUAUGCAAGUUGGAGGACUGAGAUCCUCUACAUCAAUUACACAUCCAACAGUGCCGAUGACACGUGAGGGGUCAGGGACACACGGCAACAAUCAUAGUUGUGGUACAAUUACUGCAAAGGAUCUGGACUAAAAGUUGGAAUGCCGAAAUUCAAAUGAGGAGAAUAUGAUGAAAAGGAGAGACCGAACAACAAAUUAAAAUGAACUAAAUAUGCAUGGUCUAUCAUUCAUUUUGCUCAUUUAUGUCUCUUUAAUAAUUAUUAUUUUGAGAAAUCGCAUUAUGUUAUGCAAUCUUUCGAAAAUUAAGUUUUUGUCAUGAGAUCUAGAUUCUCUGUUGUAUGCAAGUUGGAGGAUUGAGAUCCACGACAGCAACUGCAUGUGCAGUACUGCUAAUGACAAGCGAGGUCGGGUCCACAUGACAGCGUUCGUAGCUGCGGUGCUAUUACUGCAGAGGAUCCGGACCCCAAGUUGGAAAGCCAAAACACAAAAAAUGCAAGUUCAUAAUAGAAAUUCAAAGCAUGAAGUUAAGUAGAUAAAAGAAGCAAAGGCCCAGUUCUUUUGACCGAUUCUUCUAGAAUCUUGAGAAUUGAACCUUCAUCCAGCUUCUCCUAGAAUCUUGAACCUAUAUUUAUUUUUGACAAUCCUAAAAGCACUUGUGAAGAAGGAAGCAUACUAAGCUCGUGAUCCACGAUAAACAUGGAACAAGUGUAUGGAACAAAUAAGAUUAUGAUACUCUUGUCUUUACCCUUCCAUUCUGAUUAUUUAUUUAUUUUUUGGCAUAGACCAAAAGGUACCUCGAUCCGAUGACGCUGUUAUGUGUCUUUGCACGUCUAUGCGAGUCACACCUUGUCACCCCACCCAAGCUUUAAUUCAUUAGAUAAUUUCAUGUGGUGAGGAGUGUAAAAGCAACAAAGUCAUUAUGGUACAACUUCCAUCUACAUGAAGGCAAUGUGGUGGUGUAUAUUAACUUAGCAUCAAAGGGCUCCUAGUCAGGGCAGUGGAAAGGAUGGUUCUACUGCCAGCCACAAGAAGGCACGAACAAAAAAUGAAAACCUGAGGUCUGACCUUUAUUGGUUGUGCCUGGCAAUUGCCUUGCUGAAGGUAUUGUUUCGAGAGCUCGGUUGUUCUCCAAGGCGAAAACCUGUGAUCUUGGAUCGGGCGAUGACGACGCUUGAGCAUUGUUUCCUUCUUGAAGGCGUUGCUUUUGGAGACCUUUUAUGUUUUCUGGAUGUUGUUUUUGGUGAUGGUUUGUGUGCUGCUACUGAGAGGAGUUGAUCACUAUUGCAAGGCCUUUUUCUUUUUUACCUUUUCUUUUUGUUUUCUCUUCGGGUUGUGUGCAUCCUGAAUGUCUUUAUGACAUAUUGUUGAUGUAGAGGCUGUGUGUAAUUGGUAUCUUCAUGAUAUUAAUAUAUCCCUGUCUUUUUUAAAACAAACAAACAAGAAGGCAUGAACUAUUGUGGUCUCGCACUGCGCACGAAAGAUGUUUGGUGGGAGGAGCCUCCUAGCGGUUCUAGGGGGCAAGGGACUUUGUUAUUGAAAUCGACGUUCGGAAAGAAAAGAAAUGUCCUUGCUACUCCACAACUAUCCGCCGCUAUUACUAGAUCACGCUCGGUUUCUGCAUCAUUACGAUGCACACAACCAUACAUUUACUAAGGUUCACACACCUUCUAAAUUGCUGAAAAUGCUAUCUCCAAAUGAUUACACCAUACAAAAACCUUAUUUGACAUUUUUUUUCAUAGCAUGAAUUCUUUUUAGAAAUAUAUAGAUCUUGGUGGAAAUAUUUUCAUUAAUUACUUUGACAACAUUUCCGGUUAUUCAGAGGGACAAUCUGCAUAGCUGUUGCAUGCCCCGAUAUGUACCGCGGCCGCUAUGAUUGCUCAAUAACAAGGUUUGGUCAAUCAUCGGGGUGAAAAGGGAAGAAGAAAGGGACUCCUCUCCUGGCUUCCUCUUCACACCCCUGUUCCCGUCCCGGCCGCGGCACCCCGUCCCUAACCAGUAACCACCAUCGCUUCAGCCUCCACACUUCAUUGACUUAAAGCAAUCGCCCAGUCCAGUACACCGAUGGCUGACCGCUGACGCCAGAUCGAUCGGGAGCCCCAGCUCGCCGGUGAGUCCAUUCUGGAUCGGCUCAUCGGUGGAGCCGUGCAUGCCUCAGUUUCCUUCGUCACCAUUAUAAAUACCGCCCCACCCACACGCCGGCGAACACAUCGGCGCACACACACAGUCACGCACUAGGCAUUUCUUUCUUUCCCCGUCCGUCCGUGCGUGCUCUCCGGAGCCCACGCACCACGACGUAGUACGCCUCCCCUCCCGCUUUCUCUUUCUCUUUCUCGCUCGCGGGAUGGGGAUAAAGUGGCCGGGCCAAUGCGGCGCGGCGGCGUCGCUGGCCCUGCUUCUCGUCCUCCUCGUCGCCGCGCCGCCGCGGGGAUGCGUUGCGGCUGCGGGGAGCGGCGGGGGAGGGCUCACGAGGGGCAGCUUCCCCAAGGGGUUCGUCUUCGGCACCGCCUCGGCCGCGUACCAGGUUCGUUGGCUGCCACUUUCCUCGAUCUCUCUCGCUGGUCCGCCGCGCGUUCAUGGAUCUUGGCGAAUCUGACAUGAUGGCGCCACUGAUUUUUUUUUACUUCUGUCUUCGUGCAUGCGCGCCAGUUCUAGUGCCACUGCCAUGCAUGUUGUGUCUGAGGAUGAACAAGCGUACAUGAUCAUAUUUUACGCGUGCGGUUUUUAAGUUUUUCAACUUUGGCUGUUGCCCUCAUUACAUGUUAUUAAUCGAGGUCGUCGAUGAUUUGCUUGGAACAAAUUGACGAAUCUUUGGUUUGGAUUCCUUGCAAAAAAAAAAUGAUUACUGCCUAAGAUGCGUAGAGUAUUAGUAGUGCGAAGAGCUCGAAGAGUAUAUACCCCGUCAUAGCUAGGAGGAAGAGGACCAUGCCCCUAAGCAUCGUUGGCCUUGCUGUAAGCAUCACCAUGGGAUGGGAGGGACAUGGGAGCCUAGAGGCCAAGUGGUGGACAAAAAAGAGGUUGGAAGGAACAAAAGUUGUAUUCUUGUCUUGUGGCCUUGGGUUUGCUUUCUGACGGUGGCCUUUUGGACCCUCCUCCUCGUCUGCAGCCUGCCUACCAUCUCUGUUUGUGUAUCCAUCGGUCGUGCAUAGGCCAUCCACCUCAAGCAUAAAUUUCACCGUGGAUGCGCGUACACGGCAAAGUUGCACACAAAGUUAAAGAAAGAAGACACUAGAUUUUCAUCCGAGGUGAAAAAGACAUUGUCUGGCAAGCUAAAUGUUUUUCACUCUUAUAAACAUGAUCCACUCUCUCUAGGUCUCUCUGUCUCUAUCUAUCUCUUUCUUCAAAUAUUAUUAAACUCCAUUAACAGCACUAAUUUUAUUCUCCCAAGAAAGGAAAUAUUUGAUGCGCGAUUAAGUGUACUGCUAGACCCAGUGGCCCCUGCCAGAUUUUGUGUAGCCAAUUAAUUACUGCCCAACUCAUUGCCAUCCAUGCCAACAAGAUUAUGCAGAAGAGACCGGUCGUCUCAAUCAAGGAGCAGGAGCAGGGGCAGGUACGCAUGCAUGCUCUACGUACCCGACCUGUCAUCAUCUCUCGGGACGGAUGCAUAUAUUCUCUUCUCCCGUGCCCCCUGUCCGUCGGCGCCGCGCUAGCUGCCUGCCUAGCCUAGCUGCUUGACCGUGGGUGCGAAACCUGCCGAAAACGACCGGAAUUUUCCAAGGUUCACGGGCGGCACGCGUCCGGUGGAGAGGACGGUGCCCAUUCGCGCGCGGCUCGCAUGCCCCCACUGGCAGUGUAACCGUUCUCUUCCUCCCAAAUCGUACGUUUGACCUGUGUUGUGUGGACGCACAACGCUGUCAUGACGGGAUCAAUUAUACGGAGUAGUACUGAAUGCUACUUCAAUAACGUCAAAGGUAUUAGAAAACUAAUGCAUCGAAACCCUUCGCCGAUCAAAAGCUUGAAUGAAGACACCCGAUCGGCCCGACUUUCCCAAAUAUCGGCCACCAGCCCUUUUCCUGUAGUACGGGUCUUGAUUUCUUGUCUUAUUUUUGUUUUAAUCGUGGUGAUCGCCCGGGAAGAAAGAAAUGAAUGAAUGUACUUUUGGGAAAAUGUAGAAUAAUACACCUACCGAGGCGAAAGCCGAGGGCGAGUUUCGUAGGUGGACGUAUCGAACUAAAAUAAGAUCUAAGAUUGAGUAUCCUAUUUCCAUAGGCUCGAAUGACCCAUUCUCAUAAUAAGAAUGUGCACGGUCUGGUUCGGUACGGAAUGAACUUAUAGUCUGAUGAUCGAGUCGAUUCCAUGAUUAUAUGUUCAUAACCUAGCGCCCAUUUUCAUUUUGGGCAGAACAGAUCUACUAAUUAUUUUAUUCCAGUUAGUAAGAGGGAUCUUGAACUAAGAAAUAGACCUAGCAGCUAAAAGAGGGUAUCCUGAGCAAUUGUAAGAAUGGGGUUCAUUGAUAUUCCUAAUAUAGUAGAUGCCACAUACAGUCAUACUCAAUUCGCGUAUCCAUAUUAAUUUUCACUCAUUUAGUAUAGUACUAAAUCAACAACGAUUAAUAUAUAUGGAUUUGAUUUUAAGACGAGCUCGACCUGCAGUUCAUGGCUCGACCGAAUAAAUCUUCAUUCUUCAAAAUAAAUCUUUUGUUGUUUUGUACUCCCUCUGUUUUUAUUUACUUCGCAUAUUAGCUUUGGUCAAAAUCAAACUUUAUAAAAUUUGACAAAGUUUAUAGAAAAAAUAUUAACAUAUACAAUAACAAAUCAAUACAUUUAGAUUCAUUAUUGAAUAUACUUUCACAUCACAUAGAUUUGCUAUUGUACAUGUUUAUAUUCUUUUCUAUAUAUAAAUUUGGUCAAACUUUAUAAAGUUUAGUUUCAGUCAAACCUAAUAUGCAGAAUAAAUAAAAACAAAGAGGUACUACUGAAUAACUUGUCUUAUGUUGUAAUAAUAUCCACUUGUGCAGUACGAGGGGGCGGUGAAGGUGGACGGGAGAGGGCAGACCAUCUGGGACACCUUCGCGCACACCUUCGGUAUGUACUUUACUUCUCCUGUAUUACUUCUCUACUCCUAUAAAAGACUCAGUUGAUGAUGGUGGUGUGUCUGUCAACCAUCAUUUCCGACCAUUAAUCUGCAUCUAACGACUAUGGGGUAAGUUAUGCUAUUUUUACAACACUAGCCCACUUCUCUGCUUCAAUUUGCAAAAAAAAAAAACCUUAGUAUCUUCAAACCAACCACAUCCCUCCCUCACCUCAUCAAAAUAGCUCGAGGAAUAUAUUUUAAAUGAAACAUAAUAUAUUUUUAGUGAUAAAUGUAUAUCAAAGAGUGUUUUCUUUUAAAUUUAUGACCAAAUAGUAUUUUACGUUAAAUCCGUUGCAACGGAUAGGCACAUUGCUACUACCACUAACCAGAGACAGUACCCCAAAGCUAGUCCUCUCAGUGCCUACAGCUACAGUGCAGCCACGUGCAUCGUUAAGAGCAUCUCCAGCCGUUGGCCUCCCAGGAGGGGCUAAAAAUCGUCCCUGGGGGCGCACCGGCGCUAAACCGCGCGCUGGGGGCGUGAUGCCCCCAGUUGCGGCACCCACGUUUUUUUGAAAAACUUAAAUACGGCGCAAACACGGCUCAAAUUUAACGCAAACAUCGGCAAGUUCGUUCAAAUUUAAACAUAUUUUAUAAAAAAAGAAAAAAAACUACUAGGGGCUGCUCCUUGCCGUCUCCAUCGCCGUUCCUCGCCAUCUCCCUCGCCGCUCCUCGCCCGUCCUUGCAGUUCUACAUGCCGAGGAGGCUGUAGAACCGCGUGUACUCGCCGCCGUCGUCAUCGUCAUCGUCGUCGCCGCCGCCUCCUCCGCCGCCGUCCCUGCUGCAUCCCUCCCCUGGUUGGCGCGGCGGGUUGGACGGUCCGGGGGCGUCCUCGUCGUCGUCGCUGUCGAGGAUCACGGCGCCGUGCUCGUCCUCGCGCCCACGUUUGUGGGCUUGUAUCUCCUCCAGGGCCCGGCGCUGCCGGACCAACUCGUCGCGGUAGUAGUCGUCCCGCGCCCACUGUAGGGCCUCCUCGUCGGAGAAGCCACGUCGGGCUAUCUCCUCGUACUCCGAGGGGAGGCCGGGCUUCGGCUUGGGCUCGACGAGGACGAAGCGGCCGGAGGGGGGUGGAGUCGCCGAUGCGGACGCCGGAGCGACGGGUGCGCGCGCUGACAGGCGUGUCCUGGGGCUCCGGCUUGACGGGGCGGAGGCAGGGAGAGCCGGACGAGCGGCCGGAUGAGGAGGAGGACGCCCCGGGCCACUCCAUGCGCCUCGGCGUCCAGGAGCUCCCACGGCGGCGUGAGAAGGACGGGGGAGAGGGGUACUCGAGGCGCGGCAUGUUGCCGCCCUCGAUGUACUCGAGGACGGCCUCCAACGUGCGGCCGGGCACGCCCCACCACCGGCGUCGGCCCUCGGAGUUGAGCCUGCCGGAGGGCACGACGCCGUUCGUCGCCUCGAGCUGUUCGGCAUGGCGGCGGCGGAAGUAGGGCUCCCAGAGCGGGCUGUCGGGGGCGUACCGCGGGCCUUCCCUCGCCGCCCGCGGCAGGGACGCGCGGAUACGUGCGAUCUCCGCACGCCGCGCCGCCCCGGUGGGUGGUGGUGGCACCGGCACGCCGCCGGCGCUGAUCCUCCACGCCCCGGGCACCCGCAUGUCCGGCGGGACCGAGUACUCGGCCUCGAAAAGGAGGCGAGCCUCGUCCUCGUGAAGAUGGCGGCGCCCGAAGCCAUUCGCCGCCGCGCCCUCGCCUGGGAAGCGCUCGGCCAUUCUUCUGAGCUGGAGACGGCGAGAGGAGGCGAGGGAGGAAGGGGAAGAAAUGGGCGCGUCGGCGGUGGAGGAUCUGUGCGUGUCUCCAGCGCGCUGGUGGUCGGCUUAUAUAGGCGGAGGCGCCGCGUACUACGCGUGGCCGGCGCGUUACGCGUGGCGGGCGAGGGGACGCGCGUCGCCCGGCCUUCACUGCGCCGCCCGUGAGGCAUCAAUGGAGGUUGACCGGCGCGGCAGCGCGCGCAGCUUUGGCAUUGAUUCGCCGCGGGGAACAAGGCGACGAGGACAACGAAGCGGCGAGAAGAGAGUCGAGUCGCUGGCAAGGGGGGCCCGCGGCUCUUCGCGCCAAAAACGAUUCGCCCGGCGCCCCCGAGCGCCCCCAGCGCGCCGGAUUCGGGUUGGGUCCGCCGGCGGCAAUUUCGGCCCGAGCUGGCGAAAACUGGGCCCUUGGAGGUGCGACUGGGCCAUUUUUUUGACGCCGGCGGCCAAAAAAUCGCCUGGGGGACUUUGUUGGGGUGCGGCUGGAGAUGCUCUAAGAAUAAGGGCUUAGAUGCUCGUAAUUUACCAUCGCAACGUGCACCGCCGCACUAGGAUACACGUCAGUGACUGGAUAAGCUAGACGUCAACUCACGAUAGAGACACAAACAUGCCUGGCCGGCCUGACAUUCAGUGCCGUGUAACUUCUUUCCUUGGAUUACCCGUUUGUGUCAACCGAGUUACAAGCGCCACUGCCUUGGGUGCAAGAAGCUUUACCACCACGUAAAUGGAGCUCCCAUCUCUGUCAAGGAAUGGUGGAACGCCUCAGCGCGCAAGUCCAAUCAUUGGGUCGUGGUCAUAUUCAUAUCGCGGCACUAACUAGCAGUCUCUCUUUCCCCGCCGAGUCUAAGCCAGCUUUGACCGAAAGUGCCCCCGAAGUUAGUGUUCCUUGUUUGUUGCAAUGCUUACUUUCUCUUAAAAAAGCGUGGAUAUGUAGUGGCGCAAAGCAAAACACAUUGUGCAUGCGCGCCCUGAUUGAUGUGCAUGUCCCACCUACCACCCCUUCUGCACUCACCAGAUUUGCAUUCCAAGCAGUGGAGUACAUCGACAAGGCAGCGCUGAUCUAGCCAUACUGUGUUUAGUUCAGUUUGAGAAUGUAUCUAAUAAGCUGAAAUUGUGGGCAAGGAUUAACUGAACUCGCUGCAUUAGGCAGCCAUCAUUAACUGAACGGUGCUUCUGCCUCUUCCCCCCUUCUCUCUAUGUGCAGGAAAGAUCACUGACUUCAGCAAUGCGGACGUCGCGGUGGAUCAGUACCACCGUUUCGAGGUGAGCACUACGUUACAUCCACUGAUCUGUAUAGGAGUAGUGUUGUGUAGCGUAGGAGGUCUUGCGCAUCUCGACGUGAUUGCUGCUUUGGGAAUGAUGCAUGGUGGUUUCUUGUCUGUCAGGAGGACAUACAGCUGAUGGCGGACAUGGGGAUGGACGCGUACCGCUUCUCCAUCGCCUGGGCCAGGAUCCUCCCAAGUAGGCCGCCCAUCUCCACCUCAAAUCAUCAGAUUUGUCAGUGAUCUCAGCCAGACCGCUCUCUGCCCUGACAUGUGCAAACGUUCUCUGAGUGUGUCUUUUUUCAGAUGGCGUUGGUCAGGUCAACCAGGCCGGCAUCGACCACUACAACAAACUCAUCAACGCACUGCUCGCUAAAGGCGAGUGCAAUCGCAACACGUACCUAUCUGCAUUUGUAGUCCUGCUUGAUCGGCACUGACACAUGUGAAAUUCAUACAUAUCUUGCAGGGAUUCAGCCAUAUGUGACCCUGUACCACUGGGACCUCCCCCAGGCCCUGGAGGACAAGUACAACGGGUGGCUCGACAGGCAGAUUGUGUGAGCACACGCCACCCUAGCUCUUAACCUGCAACUCUUCUUGCAACUUAACCAACGGUAGAUUCACGGCUUACAGUAAGCGCAUGAUUUCUCCAUGGUAAAAACAAAUGGUUAAAAACGCAGGGAUGACUUCGCGGAGUACGCCGAGACAUGCUUCGCGGCGUUCGGCGACAGGGUGAAGCACUGGAUCACGGUGAACGAGCCGCACACGGUGGCCAUCCAGGGCUACGACGCCGGGCUGCAGGCGCCGGGGCGCUGCUCCGUGCUGCUCCACCUCUACUGCAAGUCCGGCAACUCCGGCACCGAGCCCUACAUCGUCGCCCACAACUUCAUCCUCGCCCACGCCGCCGUCUCCCACGCGUACAGGACCAAGUACAAGGUGAUCGUCCGUGCAACCAUCCCCAUAGACGAUGCGGAUUCAUAUCCUGACCAUGUCCACUGUCGCACUGUUGGAAACUGCUGCAGGCGGCGCAGAACGGGGAGCUCGGCAUGGCGUUCGACGUGAUGUGGUACGAGCCCAUGUCGUCCGCCGCGAUCGACGUCGAGGCGACCAAGCGGGCGCAGGAGUUCCAGCUGGGGUGGUUCGCGGACCCCUUCUUCUUCGGCGACUACCCGGCCACCAUGCGGAAGCGGGUCGGGGAGAGGCUGCCGAGGUUCACGGCGGAGGAGGCCGCGCUCGUCAAGGGGGCGCUCGACUUCGUGGGCAUCAACCACUACACCACCUACUACACCAGGCACAACGACACCGACAUCAUCGUCCGGCUGCUCAACGACACCCUCGCAGACACCGGCACCAUCAGCCUGCGUCAGUCACCUCUCUGAACCCCCCUCAAGUUUUUACCCUCCCGUUCGUGGUGGAAAUGAGAAUAUUGAUGUUUUUGGCGAUUUGCAGCAUUCAAGAACGGCAGAGCGAUUGGGGAUAGGGUGAGUCCGGCAUGCACACAUUAUCUCCAAGAUUAUCGUGCUAGUAAACUGUAAAACUGUAUGUGAUUGAACUGAAGAGUGAUGCUACUAUGCAGGCGAACUCGAUAUGGCUGUACAUUGUGCCCAGAGGGAUGAGGAGCCUGAUGAACCAUGUCAAGAACAGGUACAACAGCCCGCCAAUCUACAUCACCGAAAACGGUAAGAGCAUGAGGAGCCUGGAUUAUGAUCCUGCAGCUAAAUAGAUAUGAGAUUCAGCGCUCUAACAGUGUGUGAUUGCUGAUCAUGCUGGUGCAGGGAUGGAUGACAGCAGCAGCCCCUUCAUUGCCCUCAAGGACGCCCUCAAGGACACCAAGCGGAUCAAGUACCACAACGACUACCUCACCAAUCUGGCCGCCUCCAUAAAGUAUUGCACUCUACUACUACCACUUCUGAAUUUCUGCCAAUUUUCACAUUGCCAUGGCUGCAUUUUUAGCAAAAAAAAGUGCACGGUUUGCGCAAUGUUUGUUUCAGUAAGAGUCUUACGUGUUUUGGUGUGGUGGUUGAUGCAGGGAGGACGGGUGCGACGUGCGCGGCUACUUCGCGUGGUCGCUGCUGGACAACUGGGAGUGGGCGGCCGGGUACACGUCCAGGUUCGGGCUCUACUUCGUGGACUACAACGAUAAGCUCAAGAGGUACCCCAAGAGCUCGGUGCAGUGGUUCAAGAGCCUCCUCAGCUCCAGUUGAGAUCGAGCUACGAGCACUUUGCUAGGUCAUUGGUUUGUGCUCGUGUGCAUGGUGUGGUUGCAUGUAUUGUCAUCGUGUCUGUCUGUUGCUGCCAGUAUGUUAGGAUGAUACACACGUCUGGGGUUUCAGAGUUAGAAGGUGUUGUCUUCAUGGAUUGUAUAGCUUCUACUUGUGGUCCUUGGGCGUUUUCUUCGCAAUAUAUACACACACACACAAGGGCAGACAUAUACCAAUUGAAAUAUUUGUGUAUACACACCGUGUCCAGUGGGUUUCCUGGUAGUGCUGAACUCGCUUUUCCGUCUCCUAUAAACAUCUGAACUGUAUUUCCGUUACAAGUAACGGAAAGGGGAAUAUCCUGGUUCAGAAAAAAAUGUAUACACACACAGACACUCACACCAAAGUACAAAAUACCUUUUUCUUUUCUUUCUACUACUCCCUCCGUUUCUAAAUAUUUGUCUUUUUAGAGAUUUCAAAUGGACUACCACAUACGGAUGUAUAUAGACAUAUUUUAAAGUGUAGAUUCACUCAUUUUGCUUCGUAUGUAGUCACUUGUUGAAAUAUUUAGAAAGACAAAUAUUUAGAAACGGAGAGGGUAGAAUACAUCGUCACGUCCUGUCCAGCAAGCUCUCGCGUCGUUCUCCUCCCUGUGUCGGCCUUGCUGCUCGGCGUGAAGAUCCGCGAGAUCGAUGACAGGUGGUUGAGGAUGCGGGUGUGUUGGCACAGGGCGUCGCCAUCCUAGGUGUGGCGGCCCUGGGUGUGGCACGCUCGGUUGCCGGUUAGACGGUCGGUCAUCGUCGGUGGGUGCAGCUCAAUCAACUCCAGAGCUGGUGACGGCCAUAGGGCGGUGCGGUGCUACGAGGUGCUACGAACGCACGACAUGACUGAUAUGCACACGGUAUGUGCCUAGGGACCUUCAAGCUUCAAUGUUGUUGGUAGCCCGCCGCCGUUCCCCUAGUGGCAAUGGUUGUGGCGGCUACUGCAGGUGGCCGGGAGGAUCAUAAGGAUCCUUUACCUCUUGCAUAUAGUGGCUAUUGCCUGUGGCUCGUACUGGCAAUGUUGCGGGACGCGGCCGGAAGGCUGCUUUGUGGAGUUUGGCAUCUCUCGCUGCGGCCAGUUUGCCUUUGUCAUGCAAUCUACGGAUGGCGGCCUAGCGCAGAGGGUAUGGUUGUGCAGCGACGGUUGUAGGAUUUCUGGCCUAGCAUAUGAAGCUGCUGGGAUUACGGAAAAAUGGUGACGAACACAUGAUUGACCUUGAUUUGGUGGUGCUUUUUGCGACCUGGUCUCGAGCCCCUAGGCAAAACCUCGAUCUGACCCGGGUUGGUUAUACCUGACAAUAGCGAUAUUUUUGCAUCAUUGCUUUGUUGAAGGCAUUGCUCGUAUAUGCUCGGACUUAUUCUUCAAGGUGAAAACUUACUAGCUAGCCUCUAGUGGUUGGAUUCGAGGCGCUUCAGAGUCGUUACCUUAUUGAAGGUAUUGUUGUUGGAAAACUCCGCAAUCAUUGUGGUGUAUGAGAUAGUUGGUGUGGAUAUAGUUGUUGUUGUAGUUUGGUCCGUCGUUGUUUUGAUAUCCUCGAGGUUCUCCCCUUUUUCCUUGCCUAGGCAAAUAUUCGAUCUUGUAUGAUUUUGCUAUUUGCCGGCGUGUUUUCUUUUUUGUGUGUGUAUUCAUUGAUGUUGGUUGUGUGCAUUCUAAUUAUGCAGAUGUUAGAUGUAUGCCAAUUACUUUUGUAUCCUCUUAAUGCUUCAUUAUGAGUCAAUAAAUCCAAAAAAACCAAUAAAUGUAUCGUACAAAGAAAUCCAAAGCAUCGCCCUUUGGCGCUAACACUCCCACUACCACUACAAUGAGAAAUGACACGCCCUAUCAAAUCUUGAGUUCAGAAUGGCAAGGAGGCGAGACACAUGGCGUCAAGAGUGCUUCUUGAGCAAUGUCGGGUACCUCCAAUGGACUAGCGUAACUUUGGUACAAACCGAAUCAACGCCUCCCUCAUACGCCUACAGUAGUCGGCAAGUGGAUGGCAGAACCGGCUGGACCUGAGAAAUUUGUUGUCUUGGAAGCACUGGCAAUGGUAUACAUUGCACGCUUGAAGUUAAACCCGGGCAUAAGAACUGAAGACCAAAGGCCGAACUCGUAAUGAUCGAGAUCGAAUCCAUGUAGACUGGCCUAUAAAAGACGGAACUAAAAUCGGUCAUCAAAACUGAAUGACCAGAUUAAGUUCGGGGGGAUUGCCCUUCUUCUCUGGAUGACCGGAUAACUUAGAUAGGCCAAAUUAACACAAUUCUCUCGAUGUUUAUGGCACAACUAGCACAACUCCUCCUCUUCUAUGGAUGUUUAUGGCACAAUUUUGGUUGAAUACACCUAUUGCAUACGAAUUUUUGGGGCAUACACCUGUUAUACAUACAUGUUGUCUGAAUUCUGCUUGCAUACACCUGUAUUGUAAUGUGCAUGAAUCUAAGUUGUAGUGCGGAAUUCCGUCUAUUUGAUUGGGAUAGAUCACCAUCCUAUAAAGACCGAAGACCAAAUAGUGGGGAAUUGAGAAGACCGAAAUAAUUUCGGUCAUCUCAGUCGCUCGCCUAAGAUGAGUCACUGAAGACCGUAUUUUUGAAAGACCAAAAUUACUGGACCGAGCAAAUCCAAAAGAUCGUACGCCCGGGCGUACCUAAAGCCGUGUGAUGUCUACUGAUGUUUACUACACAACCUUCUUCUUAUAGACGUUGUUGGACCUCCAAGUGCAGAGGUUUGUAGGACAGUAGCAAAUUUUUCUAAAGUGGAUGACCUAAGGUUUAUCAAUUCAUGGGAGACGUAGGAUGAAGAUGGUCUCACUCAAACAACCCUGCAACCAAAUAACAGAGAGUCUCUUGUAUCCCCAACACACCCAAUACAAUGGUAAAUUGUAUAGGUGCACUAGUUCGGCGAAAAGAUGGUGAUACAAGUGCAACAUGGAUGAUAGAUAUAGGUUUUUGUAAUAUGAAAUUAUAAAAACAGCAAGGUAACUAUUGAUAAAAGUGAGCACAAACGGUAUUGCAUUGCGUUGAAACAAGGCCUAGGGUUCAUACUUUCACUAGUGCAAGUUCUCUCAACAAUAAUAACAUAAUUGGAUCAUAUAACUAUCCCUCAACAUGCAACAAAGAGUCACUCCAAAGUCACUAAUAACGGAGAACAAACGAAAAGAUUAUGGUAGGGUACGAAACCACCUCAAAGUUAUUCUUUCUGAUCAAUCUAUUCAAAAGUCUGUAGUAAAAUAACACGAAGCUAUUCUUUCCGUUCGAUCUAUCAUAGAGUUCGUACUAGAAUAACACCUUAAGACACAAAUCAACCAAAACCCUAAUGUCACCUAGAUACUCCAAUGUCACCUCAAGUAUCCGUGGGUAUGAUUAUACGAUAUGCAUCACACAAUCUCAUAUUCAUCUAUUCAACCAACACAAAGAACUUCGAAGAGUGCCCCAAAGUUUCUACCGGAGAGUCAAGACGAAAACGUGUGCCAACCCCUAUGCAUAAGUUCACAAUGUUACGGAACCCACAAGUUGAUCACCAAAACAUACAUCAAGUGGAUCACGUGAAUAUCCCAUUGUCACCAUAGAUAAGCACAUGCAAGACAUACAUCAAGUGUUCUCAAAUCCUUAAAGACUCAAUCCAAUAAGAUAACUUCAAAGGGAAAACUCAAUCCAUCACAAGAGAAUAGAGGGGGAGAAACAUCAUAAGAUCCAACUAUAAUAGCAAAGCUCGCGAUACAUCAAGAUCGUGCCAAACCAAGAACACGAGAGAGAGAGAGAGAGAGAGAGAUCAAACACAUAGCUACUGGUACAUAACCUCAGCCCCGAGGGUGAACUACUCCCUCCUCAUCAUGGAGAGCGCCGGGAUGAUGAAGAUGGCCACCGGUGAUGGAUCCCCCCCUCCGGCAAGGUGCCGGAACAGGGUCUCGAUUGGUUUUUGGUGGCUAUAGAGGCUUGCGGCGGCGGAACUCCCGAUCUUGGUUAUGUUCUGGGGGUUUCUGUAUAUAUAAGAGGUUUUGGCGACGGGGACAAGUCAGGGGGGGUCUCCGAGGCGGCCACGAGGUAGGGGGCGCCCAGGGGGGUAGGGCGCGCCCUCCACCCUCGUGGGUGCCUCGGGACUCUUCUGGUCCAUCUCCGAUGCUCCGUGGGCUUCUUCUGGUCCAAAAAUAAUCUCCAUCAAAUUUCAGGUCAAUUGGACUCCGUUUGGUUUUCCUUUUCUGCAAUACUCAAAAACAAGGCAAAAACAGAAACUGGCACUGGGCUCUAGGUUAAUAGGUUAGUCCCAAACAUCAUAUAAAAUAGCAUAUAAAUGCAUAUAAAACAUCCUAGAUGGAUAAUAUAAUAGCAUGAAACAAUCAAAAAUUAUAGAUACAUUGGAGACGUAUCAAGCAUCUCCAAGCUUAAUUCCUACUCGUCCUCGAGUAGGUAAAUGAUAAAAACAGAAUUUUUGAUGUGGAAUGCUACCUAACAUAUUUAUCAAUGUAAUCUUCUUUAUUGUGGCAAGAAUAUUCAGAUCCAUAAGAUUCAAAACAAAAGUUUAAUAUUGACAUAAAAACAAUAAUAUUUCAAGCAUACUAACAAAGCAAUCAUGUCUUCUCAAAAUAACAUGGCCAAAGAAAGUUAUCCCUACAAAAUCAUAUAGUCUGGCUAUGCUCUAUCUUCAUCACACAAAAUAUUUAAAUCAUGCACAACCCCGAUGACAAGCCAAGCAAUUGUUUCAUACUUUUGAUGUUCUCAAACUUUUUCAAUUUGCACGCAAUACAUGAGCGUGAGCCAUGGACAUAACACUAUAUGUGGAAUAGAAUGGUGAUUGUGGAGAAGACAAAAAGGAGAAGAUAGUCUCACAUCAACUAGGCGUAUCAACGGGCUAUGGAGAUGCCCAUCAAUAGAUAUCAAUGUGAGUGAAUAGGAUUGCCAUGCAACGGAUGCACUAGAGCUAUAAGUAUAUGAAAGCUCAACAAAAGAAACUAAGUGGGUGUGCAUCCAACUCGCUUGCUCACGAAAACCUAGGGCAUUUUGAGGAAUCCCAUCAUUGGAAUAUGCAAGCCAAGUUCUAUAAUGUAAAAUUCCCACUAGUAUAUGAAAGUGACAACAUAGGAGACUCUCUAUCAUGAAGAUCAUGGUGCUACUUUGAAGCACAAGUGUGGUAAAAGGAUAGUAGCAUUGUCCCUUCUCUCUUUUUCUCUCUUUUUUUUUGUUUUUUUGGGCCUUCUCUUUUUUUAUGGCCUCUUUUUUUUCGUCCGGAGUCUCAUCCCGACUUGUGGGGGAAUCAUAGUCUCCAUCAUCCUUUCCUCACUGGGACAAUGCUCUAAUAAUGAAGAUCAUCACACUUUUAUUUACUUACAACUCAAGAAUUACAACUCGAUAUUUAGAACAAAAUAUAACUCUAUAUGAAUGCCUCCGGCGGUGUACCGGGAUGUGCAAUGAAUCAAGAGUGACGUGUAUGAAAGAAUUAUGAAGGUGGCUUUGCCACAAAUACGAUGUCAACUACAUGAUCAUGCAAAGCAAUAUGACAAUGAUGGAGUGUGUCAUAAUAAACGGAACGGUGGAAAGUUGCAUGGCAAUAUAUCUCGGAAUGGCUAUGGAAAUGCCAUAAUAGGUAGGUAUGGUGGCUGUUUUGAGGAAGGUAAUGGUGGGUGUAUGGUACCGGCGAAAGGUGCGCGAUAUUAGAGAGGCUAGCAAUGGUGGAAGGGUGAGAGUGCGUAUAAUCCAUGGACUCAACAUUAGUCAUAAAGAACUCACAUACUUAUUGCAAAAAUAUAUUAGUUAUCGAAACGAAGUACUACGUGCAUGCUCCUAGGGGGAUAGAUUGGAAGGAAAAGACCAUCGCUCGUCCCCGACCGCCACUCAUAAGGAAGAUAAUCAAAAAAUAAAUCAUGCUCCGACUUCAUCAUAUAACGGCUCACCAUACGUGCAUGCUACGGGAAUCACAAACUUUAACACAAGUAUCUCUCAAAUUCACAACUACUCAACUAGCAUGACUCUAAUAUCACCAUAUUCAUAUCUCAAAAAAAUCAUAACGAAUCAAACUUCUCAUAGUAUUCAAUGCACUUUAUAUGAAAGUUUUUAAUAUAUCCCUCUUGGAUGCCCAUCAUGUUAGGACUAAUUUUGUAACCAAAGCAAAUUACCAUGAUGUUUAGGACUCUCAAAAUAAUAUAAGUGAAGCAUGAGAGUUAAUCAAUUUCUAUAAAAUAAAACCACCACCGUGCUCUAAAAGAUAUAAGUGAAGCACUAGAGCAAACGACAAACUACUCCAAAAGAUAUAAGUGAAGAUCAAUGAGUAGUCGAAUAAUUGUGCAACUAUGUGAAGACUCUCUAACAUUUAAGAAUUUCAAAUAUUAAUAUUUUAUUCAAACAUCAAGCAAAACAAACUAAAAUAAAAUGACGCUCCAAGCAAAACACAUAUCAUGUGGUGAAUAAAAAUAUAGCUCCAAGUAAAGUUACCGAUGAACGAAGACGAAAGAGGGGAUGCCAUCCGGGGCAUCCCCAAGCUUAGGCUCUUGGUUGUCCUUGAAUAUUACCUUGGGGUGCCUUGGGCAUCCCCAAGCUUAGGCUCUUGCCACUCCUUAUUCCAUAGUCCAUCGAAUCUUUACCCAAAACUUGAAAACUUCACAACACAAAACUCAACAGAAAACUCGUAAGCUCCGUUAGUAUAAGAAAAUAAAUCACUACUUAGGUACUGUUGUGAACUCAUUCUAAAUUCAUAUUGGUGUAAUAUAUACUGUAUUCCAACUUCUCUAUGGUUCAUACCCUCCGAUACUACUCAUAGAUUCAUCAAAAUAAGCAAACAACACAUAGAAAACAGAAUCUGUCAAAAACAGAACAGUCUGUAGUAAUCUGUAUCAAACAUAUACUUCUGGAACUCCAAAAAUUCUAAAAUAAAUUGGUGGACGUAAGGAAUUUUUCUAUUAAUCUUCUGCAAAAAUAAUCAACCUAAAAGCACUCUCCAGUAAAAAAUGGCAGCUAAUCUAGUGAGCGCAAAAGUUUCUGUUUUUUACAGCAAGAUCGCAAAGACUUCACCCAUGUCUUCCCAAAGGUUCUACUUGGCACAAACACUAAUUAAAACAUAAAACCACAUCUAACAAGAGGCGAGAUAGAAUAUUUAUUACUAAACAUUAGCAAAAGGCAAAGAACAAAAAUAAAAUUGGGUUGCCCCCCAACAAGCGCUAACAUUUAACGCCCCUAGCUAGGCAUGAUGAUUUCAAUGAUGCUCACAUAAAAGAUAAGAAUUGAAACAUAAAGAGAGCAUCAUGAAGAAUAUGACUAGCACAUUUAAGUCUAACCCACUUCCUAUGCAUAGGGAUGUUGUGAGCAAACAACUUAUGGGAACAAUAAUCAACUAGCAUAGGAAGACAAAACAAGCAUAACUUCAAAACUUUAAGCACAUGGAGAGGAAACUUGAUAUUAUUGCAAUUCCUACAAGCAUAUGUUCCUCCCUUAUAAUAAUUUUCAGUAGCAUCAUGAAUGAAUUCAACAAUGUAGCCAUCACAUAAAGCAUUCUUUUCAUGAUCUACAAGCAUAGAAAAUUUACUACUCUCCACAUAAGCAAAAUUCUUCUCAUUCGGAAUAGUGGAGUAUCAUAAGAAACUCGAAUACUAUAAAUUGUUUCCACAUUAAAAGAGUAAUGAUCAGAAAAAGGGUAAUCAUAAUCAUGACAAGUUUUAUAAAUAUAAUCAUCACUACUUUUUAUAGCAUAAGUGUCAUCACAAUAAUCAUCAUAAGUAGCAACUUUGUUCUCAUCAUAAUCGAUUGAAACCUCUUCCAAGAUAGUGGAAUCAUUACUAAAUAAAGUCAUGACCUCUCCAAAUCCACUUUCAUCAAUAUAACCAUCAUAAAUAGGAGGCAUUCUAUCAUCAUAAUAAAUUUGCUCAUCAAAACUUGGGAGGCUAAAAGUAUCAUCUUCAUUAAACAUAGCAUCCCCAAGCUUGGGACGAACAUUAAUUGCAGCAAAUAAAUUCUCAAACAUGUCAUCCUCAUCAAACAUAGCAUCCGCAAGUUUGGGCCUUUUCAUAUCAUAAGCAUAAUCACUCUCAUCAUUAAUAGUAUGGAUAGCACCAAUAUAUAGUAUAGCAAUUAUCAUAAUCACAAUGAGUAAUAGGAGCAACAACAUUUGGGAGGGAUACCUUUUCACCUUUGCUUCUUCGUCUUUUCUUUUUCUUCUUCACAUUAUGCGUGGGUUUAAUCCUCAUUUUGGAGCUCCUUAUUAAUGAGAUGGGUUGAAUAGAAGGCUCCUACUCGUUACCUGAUUCAUCAUAAGAAAUAAUAGGAAGAUGUUGGGAAGUCUCUUCCUUUCAUUAGUAUUCUCUUCAUCUUCUUUUUGUUUUCUCGUCUUUAUGUAAUUGGCAAUAUAAGGAUUUUCAAUGCAAUUCACCGCACAAUACAUAAGAAUUUAUUCUAGAUCAAAAUCAAGCAAUCUAUCAAGAUUAAAUUUUGGAAUACGCUCAGUUAUACGUUUCAUUUCUUCAUACCCCAAAAGACGACUAAGCUCUUUAUGAUGCUCAUGGGUAAUCAAGUUAUCACAAUUUUUGGACACGAUUUGAUCAUGAAACAAAUAGCAUUGGAGCUUUAAAUGACCAUGUUCAUUACAAAGUUCACAAGGAUGGUGAUAAAUAUUGAAUCUUUCAGCACAAUCAUCUAGCCUUUCUUGCAACCAUUUAGUUUCCAAAUACUUAUGCCUCUUGCAAAAUCUAUCUUCCCUGUUUGGUGUGUACUUGCAAGCUCUAUGUAUUCCAUAAAAGUUGACAUGCUUAUAAGAGACAUUUUCAUCAUGACUAGUGCAAUCAUCAUUAGUACCAUGGAUAUUCAAAGAAUUCAUACUAACAACAUUGCAAUCAUGCUCAUCAUUCAAAUAUUUAGUGCCAAACAUUCUAAUGCAUUCUUCUUCUAACAUUUUGGCACAAUUAUCAGAAUCCUUAUUUUCAUUUUUUUUUCGAAUACGCACGAGUGUGCGUAUCAUUCAUUAUAGAAGAAGGGGGUGGGGAGCCCCAAACCACCGGUACAACUAGUUAUAUUACAUGUGGAUCUGCUCCGGCCUACCCUGUACGUACAAGGAAAAAGAACCAACUACUCCGGUCCUGCCCGCUCCACCUGCGCCGCCUCGUCCCCUAUAGUCAAAUCACUGAUUAGGCAUGCCUUUACCCAAAGUGCUCCUUCUUCGCGUAUUCUACUCAGCACUCGUGGCAAUGAGGGUGUGGCCCCAUUGAAGACGAUGUCGUUCCUAUGCUUCCAUAGUAUCCACAUUGCCAGCAAGCAAAGUGCUCGCUUAGACCUCCUGUGAUCUCUGUUAGCAUCAUGUCUCUCGCACCAUCCGCUAACGGUAUUGAUGACCCACAAGUAUAGGGGAUCUAUCGUAGUCCUUUCGAUAAGUAAGAGUGUCGAACCCAACGAGGAGCAGAAGGAAAUGACAAGCGGUUUUCAGUAAGGUAUUUUCUGCAAGCACUGAAAUUAUAGGUAACAGAUAGUUUUGUGAUAAGGUAAUUUGUAACGAGUAACAAGUAACAAGUGUAAAUAAAGUGCAGCAAGGUGGCCCAAUCCUUUUUGUAGCAAAGGACAAGCCUGGACAAACUCUUAUAUAGAGAAAAGCGCCCCCGAGGACACAUGGGAAUUAUCGUCAAGCUAGUUUUCAUCACGCUCAUAUGAUUCGCGUUCGGUACUUUGAUAAUUUGAUAUGUGGGUGGACCGGUGCUUGGGUGCUGUCCUUACUUGGACAAGCAUCCCACUUAUGAUUAACUCUUAUUGCAAGCAUCCGCAACUACAAAAGAAGUAUUAAGGUAAACCUAACCAUAGCAUGAAACAUAUGGAUCCAAAUCAGCCCCUUACGAAGCAACGCAUAAACUAGGGUUUAAGCUUUUGUCACUCUAGCAACCCAUCAUCUACUUAUUACUUCCCAAUGCCUUCCUCUAGGCCCAAACAAUGGUGAAGUGUCAUGUAGUCGACGUUCACAUAACACCACUAGAGGAAUGACAACAUACAUCUCAUCAAAAUAUCGAACGAAUACCAAAUUCACAUGACUACUAACAGCAAGACUUCUCCCAUGUCCUCAGGAACAAACGUAACUACUCACAAAUCAUAUUCAUGUUCAUAAUCAGAGGGGUAUUAAUAUGCAUAAAGGAUCUGAACAUAUGAUCUUCCACCAAAUAAACCAACUAGCAUCAACUACAAGGAGUAAUCAACACUACUAGCAACCCACACGUACCAAUCUGAGGCUUUGGGACAAAGAUCGGAUACAAGAGAUGAACUAGGGUUUGAGAGGAGAUGGUGCUGGUGAAAAUGUUGAUGAAGAUUGACCCCCUCCCGAUGAGAGGAUCGUUGCUGAUGACGAUGACGAUGAUUUCCCCCUCCCGAAGGGAAGUUUCCCCGGCAGAGCAGCUCUGCCGGAGCCCUAGAUUAGUUCCGCCAAGGUUCCGCCUCGUGGCGGCGGAGUUUCUUCCCGAAAGCUUGCUUCUGAUUUUUUCAGGGUAAAAGACUUCAUAUAGCAGAAGAUGGGCACCGGAGGCCUGCCAAAGGGCCCACGAGGCAGGGAGGCGCACACAGGGGGUAGGGCGCGCCCCCACCCUCGUGGCCAGGGUGUGGGCCCCCUCCGGUAUUUUCUUCGCUCAGUAUUUUUUAUAAAUUCCAAAAAUGACUUCCGUGAAGUUUCAGGGCUUUUGGAGUUGUGCAGAAUAGAUCUCCAAUAUUUGCUCCUUUUCCAGCCCAGAAAUCCACCUGCCGGCAUUCUCCCUCUUCAUGUAAACCUUGUAAAAUAAGAGAGAAUAGGCAUAAGUAUUGUGACAUAACGUGUAAUAACAGCCCGUAAUGCAAUAAAUAUCGAUAUAAAAGCAUGAUGCAAAAUGGAGGUAUCAACUCCCCCAAGCUUAGACCUCGCUUGUCCUCAAGCGGAAGCCGAUAACGAUAAAUAUGUCCACAUGUUUAGAGAUACAGGUGUCGAUAAAAUAAAAUACGGACAUGAAGGCAUCAUGAUCAUUCUUAUAACAGCAACAUAUAUAGAUAUUGUCAUAUUAUUUCUUAUGCUAAAGUAACAAUCUAUCCACAAUGUCAAAUAUGAAUCAGAAACUUCAUUGAGAACUAACAAACUAUAAUCUCAGUCAUUGAGGCAAUUGCAAUUUAUCAUAACAUCAGAAAGAGUCAAUAUAAGAGCUUUUCAGCAAGUCCACAUACUCAACUAUCAUUUAGUCUUUCACAAUUGCUAACACUCACGCAAUACUUGUGGUUAUGGAGUUUUAAUCGGACACAGAGAAAGAUAGGGGCUUAUAGUUUCGCCUCCCAACCUUUUACCUCAAGGGUAACAUCAACAAUAAUAGUUCAUGCCAACUUACAUCCAAUUGGAUAUAUAUAUAUAUAUAUAUAUAUAUAUAUAUAUAUCAGGAUCUUUCCAACACAAUGUGGUUGCCAAAGGAUAAAAUGUAAAAAGGAAAGGUGAAGAUCACGAUGACUCUUGCAUAAGGGUAGAAGAUAAAAGUAAAAGAUAGGCCCUUCGCAGAGGGAAGCAGAGGUUGUCAUGAGCUUUUAUGGUUGGAUGCACAAAAUCUUAAUGCGAAAGAACGUCACUUUAUAUUGCCACUUGUGAUAUGGACCUUUAUUAUGCAGUCCGUUGCUUUUAUUUCUUCCACAUCACAAGAUCGUAUAAAGCUUAUUUUCUCCACACUAAUAAAUCAUACAUAUUUAGAGAGCAAUUUUUAUUGCAUGCAACGAUGACAACUUACUUGAAAGAUCUUACUCAAUCCAUAGGUAGAUAUGGUGGACUCUCAUGGCAAAACUGGUUUUGAGGGUAUUCGGAAGCACAAGUAGUAUCUCUACUUGGUGCAAAGAAUUUGUCUAGCAUGAGAGGGAAAGGCAAGCUCAGCAUGUUGGAUGAUCCAUGACAAUAUACUUUAUUUCGGAUAUAAGAAAACAUAACCCAUUACCUUGUCUUCCUUGUCCAACAUCAACUCUUUAGCAUGUCAUACUUUGAUGAGUGCUCACAAUCAUAAAAUAUGUCCAAGAUAGUAUAUUUAUAUGUGAAACCUCUCUUUCUUUUUUACUUCCUAUUAAUUGCGACGAUGACCAAAACUAUGUUUGUCAACUCUCAACAACUUUUAAUCAUCAUACUCUUUAUAUGUGAAGUCAUUACUCCCCAUAAGAUAAAUAUGAUCUCUUUUAUUUCUUUUUAUUAUUUCUCUUUUCUUUAAUUCCCUCGAGAUCAUAGCAAGAUAAUCAAGCCCUUGACUCAACACUAAUUUUUAUUAUAUAUAGCUCACGGACUCGAUUACAUAGAAGGAUCAUAAGGCAAAACUCAAAACUAAACCAUACUAAAACUUUAUUCUACUAGAUCAAGAUAUUACCAAAAGGAUCGAACUAAGAAAAACGGUAAAGAUAGGAGUGUGAUGGUGAUACGAUACCGGGGCACCUCCCCCAAGAUUGGCAGUUGCCAAGGGAGUGCCCAUACCCAUGUGAUUAUGUCUCUUUUGCUGGUGAAGGAGAUGGAGGUGAUGAUGGAUAGUCGCACAUCGAGCGUAGGAGGUCCUCCAAUUUGCGGAUAAUGCCCUUGAGUGUGAUGAUAUGCUCCUUCAACAAAAUAUUUUCAUGUGUGAGAUGUUUUUUUGUAUACGAGCUAACUCAAUCAUCUUGAAAGCUUCAAUCUCUGGAGUAAAGAGAGGUGGAAUGAUGUCUUCUUCUUCUGCUGCAGGCGCUUGAUCCUCCUUGGCCUUCUUGAUUCCUUCAUCCUUAUUGACCUCCACGGGUUCUUCUCUCUUCAGCUCUAUCUUCAUUAGCCAAGCAUCGUUGCCCUCAUUGUUGGAGGAGGGGGGCGACAUGAUGCCUGGCCUUGACAACUCUGGCAGAAAACAGCUCGAAACAAGAACAGAGGAUAAUUGCAUGAUACGGUGGUCAAAACCUUUGGGAGACUAUAUAAUGAGUUUUUACCGACCAAAAGAAGUAUUGUGCAAGAAAACGGAGUUCGGAGAGCGCACGAGGUGCCCACGAGGCAGGGGGCACGCCCAGGGGGGUAGGGCGCGCCUCCCACCCUCGUGGAUGCCUCGUGUCCUUCCCGGACUGCUUCUUAUUUUCCUAUUUUCUUAAAUAUUCCAAAACAGAGAAAAUUGCCAUUAGAACUGUUUUGGAGUCGGUUUACUUACCGCACCACGUACCUAUUCCUUUUCAGAGUCUGAAGCAUGCUGGAAAGUGUCUCUUAUGUAUUCCUCCGGGGUUACGGUUUCAAUAACAUUGGUUUCAACAUUUAUAGGAUUACCUGAGAUAUAAUGUUUGAUUCUUUGACCGUUCACUAACUUCAGAUUUGUGCCUUCGAAGUUGUUGAUUUUUAUGGCACCGGAACGAUAGACCUCCUCGAUAACGUAAGGACCUUCCCAUUUAGAGAGAAGUUUUCCUGCAAAAAAUCUUAAACGAGAGUUGUAUAACAAUACAUAAUCACCUAUAUUAAACUCAUGCUUUUGUAUCCUUUUGUCAUGCCAUCUUUUAACUUCUUCUUUAAACAGUUUGGCAUUCUCAUAGGCUUGAGUUCUCCAUUCAUCAAGUGAGCUAAUGUCAAAUAACCUCUUCUCACCGGCAAGUUUGAAAUCAUAGUUGAGCUCUUUAAUAGCCCAAUAUGCCUUAUGUUCUAGUUCGAGAGGUAAGUGACAUGCUUUUCCAUAAACCAUCUUAUACGGAGACAUACCCAUAGGUUUUUUAUAUGCAGUUCUAUAGGCCCAUAAUGCAUCAUCAAGUUUCCUGGACCAAUUCUUUCUAGAUCUAUUAAUAGUCUUUUGCAAAAUUAAUUUGAGCUCUCUAUUACUCAACUCUACUUGACCACUAGACUGUGGGUGCUUAAGGGGAUGCAAUUCUAUGAUUAACAUCAUAUUUAGCAAGCAUUUUACGAAAGGCACCAUGAAUAAAAUGUGAACCACCAUUAGUCAUUAAAUAUCUAGGGACUCCAAACCUUGGAAAAAUAACUUCUUUAAGCAUCUUAAUAGAGGUGUUAUGAUCAGCACUACUAGUUGGAAUAGCCUCUACCCACUUAGUAACGUAAUCAACAACAACUAAAAUAUGUGUAUACCCAUUAGAGGAAGGAAAUGGUCCCAUGUAAUCAAAGCCCCAAACAUCAAAUGGUUCAAUAACAAGUGAAUAAUUCAUAGGCAUUUCUUGACGUCUACUAAUAUUACCAAUUCUUUGACAUUCCUCACAAGACAAGACAAACUUACGGGCAUCCUUGAAGAGAGUAGGCCAAUAAAAACCGGAUUGCAAUACCUUAUGUGCAGUUCUAUCUCCAGCGUGGUGCCCUCCAUAAGCCUAGGAGUGACACUUGCGUAGGAUCUGUUCCUGUUCAUGCUCAGGUACACAACGUCUAAUAAAACCAUCUACUCCUUCUUUAUAAAGAUGUGGGUCAUCCCAAAAGUAAUGUCUCAAAUCAUAGAAAAACUUUUUCUUUUGCUGGUAUGUGAAAUUAGGUGGUAUAAAUUUAGCAACAAUGUAAUUAGCAUAAUUAGCAUACCAUGGAGUAGUUCGAGAAGCAUUUAUGACAGCCAAUUGUUCAUCAGGAAAGCUAUCAUCAAUAGGUAGUGGGUCAUCAAGAACAUUCUCUAACCUAGACAAGUUGUCUGCAACGGGGUUCUCAGCUCCCUUUCUAUCAAUAAUAUGUAAAUCAAAUUCUUGUAGCAAGAGAACCCAUCUAAUAAGUCUAGAUUUAGCAUCUUUCUUUUCCAUAAGGUAUUUAAUAGCAGCAUGAUCAAUGUGAAUAGUUACUUUAGAAUCAACAAUAUAAGGUCUGAACUUAUCACAAGCAAAAACAACUGCUAAAAAUUCUUUUUUAGUAGUAGCAUAAUUUCUCUGGGCAUUGUCUAGAGUUUUACUAGCAUAUUGAAUAACAUUUAAUUUCGUAUCAACUCUUUGCCCUAAAACAACACCUACAGCAUAGUCACCAGCAUCACACAUAAUUUCAAAAGGUAAAUUCCAAUCAGGUGGCUGAACAAUAGGUGCAGAAAUCAAAGCUUUCUUAAGUAUUUCAAAUGCUUCUACACAAUAAUCAUCAAAGACAGAAGGUAUAUCUUUUUGUAAUAGAUUAGUCAGAGGCGGAGAAAUUUUUGAGAAGUCCUUAAUGAACCUCCUAUAAAAACCGGCAUGACCCAGAAAACUUCUUAUACCUUUGAUGUCCUUAGGAUACGGCAUCUUUUCAAUAGCAUCAACUUUAGAUUUAUCAACUUCAAUACCUCUUUCAGAAAUUUUAUGUCCCAAGACAAUGCCUUCAUUAACCAUAAAGUGGCAUUUCUCCCAAUUCAAGACCAGAUUAGUUUCUUCACAUCUCUGCAAAACUCGAUCAAGGUUGCUCAAGCAAUCAUCAAAAGAGGGUCCAUAAACGGAGAAAUCAUCCAUGCAAACCUCACAAAUCUUUUCACAAAAGUCAGAGAAUAUAGCCAUCAUGCAUCUUUGAAAGGCAGCAGGUGCAUUACAUAAACCGAAAGGCAUACGUCUAUAAGCAAAAGUACCGAAAGGGUAAGUAAAAGUGGUCUUUUCUUGAUCCUCAGCUGGCACAGGUAUUUGAGAGAAACCAGAGUAACCAUCUAGAAAGCAGAAAUGUGUAUGUUUGGAUAAUCUUUCUAGCAUUUGAUCAAUAAAAGGCAAAGGGUAACACUACAAAAAAAAGACACAUCCGUGACAUUUUGGGCCGAACGAAAUUUUUUUCCGUCAUACAUAUGACACUUCUAUGACGAUAAUUGUGACAAAACCCGGUAUCAUCAUAGAUGUGCUGGGCUCCUACUUCUAUGACAAAAAAUCAUGAUAGAAAAUGGGCUUUUCGUCCUGGGCGGGCCGGAGACGCAGCUGCAUGACAUUCUUUGGGCCGUCCAUGACGGAAAAAACCGUGGUAGAAGCGAGGGCGAGGAAAAUUUCGGGGAGUUCCCGGUUACGGUGGGAGGUCGGGGGCCGAGCGAUGCACGUUUCUCUCGUACACGUACGCGCGUGUGUGCGAGGCGUUGGCUCUAACUGAACCCGAGCGAGGCGUUGGGCUCUAACUGAACCCGAGCGAUUGCACUCCAGGCUAUGCGUUACUGAACCCGAGCGAUCGAUCGAUGGCUGUUAACUGAACCUGAUCAAGCGAUUCCUUCGCUACUGCUGCUAACUGAAGCCGAUCGAUGCUGCCUCUGGGAUGAACAGUGAGCGUUGCAGGGGGGUUGGAUGAACAGUGAGCGGUGGCGUUGCCUCUGGAUGAACAGGACUCCGUGGUGUGGUGGAGGGCUGGAUGAACAGUAGAUGGUGGAGGGGUGCCCGUGGAGGGGUGGUUGAACAGGACCCCGUGGUGUGGAGGGCUGGAUGAACAGUAGACGGUGGAGGGGUGCCCGUGGAGGGGUGGUUGAACAGUAGGCGGUGGAGUAGCGCGCGGUGGAGGCUGGAUGAACAGGAGCCCGUGGAGGCUGGAGGAGGUCGACGGUAGCCCGUGGAGGCUGGAGGAGGUCGACGGUGGAGAUGAACAGUAUCCCGUGGAGUCCCAUUUUGCGGUAUGCCACACCCCUCCCGAUGAACAGGACCCCCGUUUCGACCGUAGGAGGUCCGUUUCGUCCGUUUUGCGGUACGCCACACCCCUCCCGAUCAACAGGACCCCCGUUUCGACCGUAGGAGGUCCGUUUCCUCCGUUUUGCGGUACGCCACACCCCUCCCGAUCAACAGGACCCGUUCCGAACGUAGGAGGUCCGUUUCCUCCGUUGUGCGGUACGCCAGGCCUCGUUUCCAUCGCCUGUUCCGUCCAAGCCCUCCCGAUGAACACGACCACGCAUUCCGUUCCGACCUAGCCGGUUGGCUCCCACGCGUUCUAUUGCCUCCCGAUGAACACGACGCAUUCUGUUGCCUCCCCAUGAACACGACGCAUUCCGUUGCCUCCCCAUGAACACGACGACGACGCUGUUUCUCCGUUCCGACCCAGCCAUGUCAACGAGUCCUCGCCGUACGUAUGCGCGAGUAGGCGUUCGAGACCCCGCCCGUAUGUACACAUACGUGGCCGUAUUUUCUUUCUUGCACCCUGGCCGCUGUACGUACGUGUACAUGCUACGUGCGCGCCUCUACUACGACACGUGCGCGCCUCUACAACCACCAGUAUAUAUGUACGUACACGUUCGCGACCAGAAUGACAACGCUACGUACGCUUCGACCAGGUGGGUCCCGACUGUCAGGCACUUCCUUGCGUGCGAAGAUGUAGCUGGUGGGUCCCAGCAGUCAGGGGGGCGAAUCAUUUUGUUUUUUUUGCCCGGACGCACUUCCUUGCGUGCGAAGGUGUAGCUGGUGGGUCCCAGCAGUCAGGGGGGAAACGUUUUUUCACGAAAUACGGUGGCCCGUCCAGUGGGUCCCCGCUGUUAGGUGGAGGAAUAAUUAUUUUGCGCGUAAUAAGGAGGCACUUCCUUGCUGCGGCCGUGGACCCAGCUGUCAGCAUCUCCACGCACAGUACUCUUUCGAUGGAAGUCGGUCGUUGACCACAUUGACCACGCCGCGCCGAGAGCACCACGGCGGUGGACGACGGCGAGGCCUAGGAAGGGGACGACACGGAGGCAGGGAAGGCUCGGCAGUUGUUUCCCACGCGGAGGGGAGUACGACUGUACGAGGGUUUACUGGUUCGUCUGCCGUCGCCGGAGAAUAAUAGCAGGUGUGGGUGAGUAGAGGGAUGGCUAGGCCAGCGAUGGGAGUACGGUGGGACGGUGAGGCUUGCGCGGCAGCACAGCCGGCCGCGGGGAGGAGGGAGCAGACAGUCCCGCCGGCGCUUGUUUGAGCGGCUGGAGCAGGAGGAGCAGAGAUUGAAGAAGCACGACGGCCGUUGGAUGGACAUCCAACAGUCAGUGCUUGUGCGUCAACCUGUUUUUUAGGAAAGCCUCAAAUCUGUGGAAAACAGCAUACAGCCCAUCUGCCAUUAUUUCUAAUAAUUUACAGUCCAUUUGCUAAUUCUUAAGGUUUUUUUGGAGCCCAUAUUCUUUUUGUUAGCAUUACAGCCCAUAUUGUGGCCAUGGUUAAAAAAUUAUACGAAAUUUUGCAUAUUUCGGUGCGGUCCGAACUGUUUUUAAUCCCGAAAUUUCGACUCACAUUCAAACUGAUUUUAAAAAUAAAUGUAUAUCAAUAUAAAAUCCAACAAAUUCUCCACGCAUAAAAAUUAAUGUAAUUUAAAAUCUUGAAAUGAAAAAAAAGAUAUUUGAAACUAAUUGCCGGUUUGACGUGUUUUAAAAAUGUACAGCCCAUUUCUCAUUACUGAUGGGCCAUUUUCUCGGCCAGCCGAAUGAAAGCUCUCCUCGUCUUGAAAGAUUUGCAGCCCAACAGGCCUGGCAAAGCGACUUACUUGGCAAAUUACAAAAAAACUAGGCUGUGGCCGUGGACCCAGCUGUCAGCCUCUCCACGUACAGUACUCUUCCGAUGGAAGUCGUUCCUUGACCACGUUGACCACGCCGCGUGGAGAGCACCACGGCGGUGGACGACAGCGAGGCCUAGGAAGGGGACGACGCGGCAGUGGAAGCCCGCGCGGAGAGGAGUACGAGGGUUCACUGGUUCGGCUGCGGUGUGAGGCUACCGUCGCCGCAGGGCCUGGCCAGCGGUGGGAAUAGUAGGGGGCGGUGAGGCCUCUGCGGCAGCACAGCCGGCCACAGGAGGCAGGAGCAUGCGGCACGACCGGCGCUGCUUUGGGCGGCUGGAGCAAGAAGACCAGAGGUUGAAGAAGCACUACGGCCGUUGGAUGGACAUCGUACGGUCACUGGAGCUAGAAUCGUUCAUAUUGACUAAGUUGACAAAGCCCUUCGUCCCCGUCAACUUAGUAGGCCCACAAGUCAGCCUCCCACCAAGGUGGUCCCAGCUAGCUGGGGGAGUAUUCAAUUUUUUAUGCGUAAUAAGGAGGCACUUCCGGUGGGUCCGAGCUGACAGCGGGGGGAACGUUUUUUUCGCGAAAUACGGUGGCCCGUCUAGUGGGUCCCAGCAGUCAGGGGGAAACGAUUUUUUCGCAAAAUACUGGUGGCCCGGUGGGACCCCGCUGUCAGGUGGAGGAAUAAUUAUUUUCCGCGUAAUAAGGAGGCACUUCCUUGCGGCUGCCGUGGACCCAGCUGUCAGUCUCUCCACGUACAGUACUCUUCUGAUGGAAGUCGGUCGUUGACCAUAUUGACCACGCCGCGCCGAGAGCACCACGACGGUGGACGACGGCGAGGCCUAGGAAGGGGACGACGAGGAGCCGGGCAAGACGCGGCAGUGGAUGCCCACGCAGAGAGGAGUACAACCGUUCACUGGUUCAGCUGCGGUGUGAGGCUGCCGUCGUUGCAGAAUAACAGGGGGUGUGGGUGAGUGGAGGGAUGGCCUGGCCAGCGGUGGGAGUAGUAGGGGGCGGUGAGGCCUCCGCGGCAGCACAUCCGGCCACGGGAGGCAGGAGCAGGCGGCACGACCGGCGCUGCUUUGGGCGGCUGGAGCAAGCAGACCAGAGGUUGAAGAAGCACGACGGCCGUUGGAUGGACAUCGUACGGUCACUGCAGCUAGAAUCGUUUAUAUUGACUAAGUUGACAAAGCCCUUGGUAUGUCAACUUUUUUUGAAUGCAUGCAGAUCAGCUUAGUAGGCCCAUAGGUCAGUUUCCGAAACGGUGCGCCCCAGAUGUCAGGGGGAGGAAUCAUUUUUUGGGCGGGUGAAGCUAGAAUAUCCGAGAUUGAAGAAGAAGCAUGGCAUCCGUUGGAUGGACAUCCAACGGCCACUGCUGCUAGAACCGUGUGUUGACUAUAAGUUGACAAAGCCUUGCAUACGCUUCAACUCUGUUUUUUUAGGGGACGCGUCAACUUAGUAAGGCCAGAAGUGUGUGGCAGAGAACUUAUAGCCCAUUUGAGAUUUGUAAGAAUGUGUAGCCCAUUUUUGAAUUCUAAUGGAAUUUACUACAGCCCAUUUACAGUUUGUUAAAAGUACAGCCCAUUUCAACCAACCGUUCAAAACAGAAUUCAAUAAAAUUUCCCACAUUUUGAUGGGAUCCGAAAUAUUUUUAUCCCGAAAUUUCUAGUCAGAUUAAAUACAAUUUUAAUAUAAAUUUAUAUUACGUAAAAAUCCAACGAAACAUUGCGCUCGCAACAAUUAAUGAAAUUAAAAUUUUCAAUAUCCAAAAAUAAUAUUUUAUAAAGUAAUCACGUGUUUGGUGUAUUUUUUUAUAGUUACUGCCCAGUUUUUAUAAUUACAUCCCAUUUAUUAUUUCUUAAAGCCCAUUUUCUUGUUAAGCCUAAUGCAUCCCUCCAAGGAAAGAUUUGCAGCCCGGCGGGGUGGAGAAUAACAACUUGACGUGGCCUGGGUAUUUCUAAAAAAAGUAUAGCUGGGCUAGCCAUUUUCAGCUUGAAAAAAAUUAAUAUCUGGGCUGGAUAUCUGGCCUGGGCUAGACGGGCCACAGCCCGCCCAGUUAAUACCUGCAGCGAUGUUUUCGUUGUUGUUUAGAGGAGAAAAAUUAAUAUCUGGGCUAAACAUCGAAAAACUCUGCAGUGCUCACACCUCAAAAACACAAAUACUGCUCGAGCUGCUUGGUCCCAGCUGUCGGCCGCUUCUUGUGCAAUUCUCUCGUUUAUUGACUACUACAUAGGUUGACAAUGGUGUGGGACCGUGAUGUCAGGAAACCAGGAGGAAGCAAAAUAAAUUAUAGUUAUAUAUAUAUAAUAAGGAAGCACUUGCGUACGUGAGGCUAUGGACCCGGUGGGUCCCCAUUGUCAUCCUCUCCAAGUAAAGUCAUCUCCUCGCCCGCGCGCGCUUUCCGCCCGAAACAGUCAGCGCCGCCCGCCCCGCUUCCCGGUGCAGGCGAUUGCUCCGCCUUCAAACGACACAAGUGUCGUCCGUCCGUCCAUCUGCCGCCCACAUUAAUGAUACGCGGUUGCCGAGGCGGCUACUCCGGCGCCACAUGUCCGUCCCUCCGCCCGCCCACCAUUGCUAUAUAAACUGCUGCGCCGGCCAUAGCCGCAGUCAUCCGCAUCCGUUCCCUUUCUCCUGUCUACCCCACUACUGCCCACCAUGGCUUCCUCGCGCUCCAGCGCUCUUCGGGACGGGCGGACGACGGACCACAAGGAAUGGCAGCCAUUGCUGCCGACCGGCUGGCCGGCAGGCAGCCGGAGGACGACGACGUCCCAAUGGAGAACAUGGUAGUCGAUGAUCCGGCGCCAACCCCCUCCUCCGCGCCAUCCUCGCCGGUGCAUUGCACAAUGACCAUCAGCGAGGCCCGUGCCCAAUAUAUGGACAGGGUGAGGCAGAUGCGUGAGGAGCAGUUUCGGGAGGCGCAGGCCGACGCCGCCUACAACCACCAUCUCCUCCAGGAGCACCUGCAGGCGGAGGAGCAGAUCCCCGCGGAGCGGGCGGAGCAGGAGGCGCUGCUCGACUCGUACCGCUCCGCCCGCAAGGGCCGCCUCGAGCGCUGGCGGUACCGCAUGCGGGUGGCGGAGGCUGCGGCCGCCUACAAAGAGGCUAGCAAAGAGGGCGAUGAAGCGGACGAGGCGCUGUUUGGCGAGACCGAGGACGAGGCAGAGGACAAUGCUAGCUCCGACGAGUCCCCGCUCUGCUGGCGUGGACGAGGCCCCGCUCCGCCGAGGCCCCGCGGCGCCAACAACGAGGCAGAGGACACCGCCGGCUCCGCCGAGGCCCCGCCCCGCCAACAACGAGGCGGAGGACAUCGCCGGCUCAGCCGAGGCCCCACCCUGCCGGCAACAUGGGGGAGGAUUUCCACCACUCCGCUGAGGCGCCGCCCGUCGGCAACGAGACAGAGGACAUCGCCGGCUCCGCUGAGGCCCCGCCCCGCUGCCAACGAGGCCGCGCCACACAGAAAACGCGGAAGAGUAGAACACGGUAGGUCGUCGCCGCUCGGGUCCAAGUAAGGCCACCGCUGCUACCCUCUGGUUGAAGCCAAGCUAGGCGGGUUGACCAUUGACGGCCGGUUAGCUUCUUGGCGGCGACGUGGAGUCGGAGAGCUGCGCUGGAGAAGAACGCUGCUUCUACUUAACUGCUGGUGCAGUUGGCAGACUGACACGUGGGCCCAACAGGCCACAUGUCAGUUACGCAACUGCACCUGCAGUUAAGUCACUGAAGCUUCUGUUCGGCUCAGCGGGACACAGGUGGGUAGCUUCGGUUAAUUAAUUAUACCUCUAGCGCACCCCUUUUUUGUUGAAGAAUGUAUGAAAUGUAAUGAAAUCCGGCAUGUUUAUAUGAAAUCCGACCAUGUAUGAAUGAAUUUAUUUCGAUUAGUUUGAAUUCCUGUAUCACUGGCAUUGGAUGAACAUGCAAAACAAUACGUACUAGCAUUAUUCCCAGGGUGAUCACCUCGUUUGCAGCAGUUUCACAUGUACUCCCUCCGGUCCUUUCUAGUCUGCAUACAAGUUUUGUCUGCAGUCAAAGUAUCUCUACUUUGACCAAUCUUAUACAAAAAAGUAUGCACUUUCACAAUGUGCGAAGUAAAAAGGAACAGAAGGAGUACAAAGAGUUUGAGUAGCUUUUUAGCGUUUCUGUACAUUGCAAUCAAACACACAGGCCUGGCAAUUCAUAGAGAACAUUCAAAACAAUCGAUGAUUAUGCAUCUCAGCUACUCACAUGUCAGAGGCAAUAUUUACUUCACAACUAAAGAAUAAAGAAAAAAAUUGAUCGACGCUGCUGACAGCAAAGGGCGUCCCAUUCGAAAAUAUCAAACGCAUGUCUUGCUAAAAUCAAUGAGCAAAAUUUGACAAGAUUGUCCCAUUCCAAAAUAACAAAUGCCUACGAUUGUGGAAUGGGCAGGGUUUGCCAUCAGUUCGUACAUUGACAUGGCACCUCGUGCUAAAUAAACCAGCUUUUCUUUUUGUGCAGUUCCACCAAAAUCAACCAAAUUCGCGCGUAGCUUGUAUGAUUUCGCCCUUAUAUGUUGCAACGCCUUGAACUUAUCGGCACCUCCUUUCUUGUGGUGGAAAUGAAUGAUUCGAUGUAUUCAUGAACAUUUUGUGCAGUUCCCAUUGAAAUCAAGCUGAGCACCCCUGUUUGCACAAAUACAAAAAAGUGAUUAGUAUAAAGCAAACUGUACUAUGAAUUGACAGUUUCAACAGGCACAUACAUGGUCCAUGUAGAGCACACUUUUAGAAAAAUGGAACUCACCAGAAGGAAUCGUAGAACAACAUUGUACUCGCGCAUCACAGCAAAAAAAAGGAGAUUUGUCAGUCCUUCUGAGCUGAAGUUAGUUUGGUCUUGUGGGGAGUAAUGUAGCCAUCCUUCAACUGAUCCUUGUGAAAUAUCCUUAUCUUACCUCAAUGGGAUAUUACGGUGCACAUACAGAUUGGAAGUCUUGUCUCCAUUUGUGCAGUUCACUAAAAUCAAGCAACAUUAUCGUACAAGUAGCACAACAUAUGAAAGCACACUGCAGAAUCAUGUGAAAGAAGGCUAGUACUGACCUCUCAUGAUGCGGAAUUCAAACAACUCACAAGAAGAAGAUCUGGACCAAAUUCGCCUUAACGGAUAGGAAGUAAGAUGUCCUCUUGUGCACUUCCACUAAGAUCAAGCAAUCAAGCAACGUUGUCGGUGUGACAUUUUGGUUGAGCUGCACAAAACACUCUUAAAACAAAAGUGUUUUGUGCAAUGCAACAAAAGGUCACAAUGGCAACGAGGUGAAGUAGAUAACCCUGUUUACAGAGAGGUGCAAAGGAAACAAUUAGUGGUCAAUAACGGUGGAUGACACAGAAGCCAACAAAAAGAAGCAUCUACCUUAUCUAAAUGGGAAAGAAAGCAAGACAGUAGCAUUUCUCAAAUGGUGGCAUUGAUUAAUAUUAACAUAGAGAUUAUAUUAACAAUAAAAUUCGUUAAACAUGUAAUUUGCUUUUAACUGUGGCAUUGCAUCAAUUUUCCAGCGGCAUUAUUAGAGGGUGUUUGUUUACAGGGACAUUUUGGUGUGGGGACUAAAAAAACUCCGUGUCAGUCCCAUCUAAACCAAAUAGGAGGGACUUUUAGGGACUAAAAGUGGGCAUUUGGGACUAAAGAAAGAAGACCCCGAGGGAGUCUUUUUGGGACUUUUUCCAACAGUUGCCCCUGCCACGCAUCGCACCUUGUCUCUAUUAGUUCAUUACUAGGGGUAACAUGGUCUUUUAGCAUGUCAUUUAAUAACCUCUAGUCCAUGUUUAGUCCCUGGAAGCAAGCAGGUAGGGACUAGGGAUUUUUUAACCAAACAUGGCCUUAGAUUAAGAACAGCUAAUGAGUUGCACGGGACAGUGGACGCACCAGCACCAUGUGCAUCUACCGAUGUACUGUGGUCAUGCACAGUCUGUUGCAACAAAGAACAAACAACCAAGGAGCAUAUUUGUGUUGGUCCCAGUUUUGUUAUCUUUAGACACCUUCCCUAUGUGAGCGCAACAAAUCUAGUCCUGCUCAAACUCUACAGCCUUGUCCCUUCCUUUCCUUUUUGAACUAGUACUUUCGCCCCUUCCUUUCCUCUUUGAACCACAUCCUAGAUUUAUGCGAUACAACUUUCCCCACUACUUUCCCCCAUUCCUUUCCUCUUUGAACCACGUCCUAGAUUCAUGCUAUACAACUUUCCCCCUUCAUUUCCUCUUUGAACCACGUCCUAGAUUCAUGCUAUAUACAACUUUUCCCACUACUUUCCCCCACUUCUUUCCUCUUUGAACCACGUCCUAGAUUCAUGGUAUACAUGCAGCUAGAGCAAUGCAUGUGGAGUAAGUAAAUUAUACCUUAAGGUACUUGGGGCGUGGUUCGGUGGGUGACGGGACGGCGGCGAAGAAGAAGGGGUCGGAGGCCCUCCCGCGCCGUCGCUGGGUGGAAAGUGAACAGUUGCGCCGGUAGUCCCUCGCCGACGGCGACAGCGUUAAGCCUCCUUCCCUUCCCGGCGGACGGAUCAUGCCGGAUCUUUGAGCAGCAGUGAGGGGAGAGAGAGGCCAAUGCAGUCUUGUUUAGAUCUGGAGAGGGCGAGAGAGUGUGAAGAGAGCAACUACAAGCGCUGAGGCUCCAGCGAGAGAGUGUGAAGAGAGCAACUCCAAGCGCUGAGGCUCCAGCGUGUAUAUAUAUACUGGAGAGAGUGUGUGAAGCGUGCAAACCCUAGAAAACAUUUUGACCAGUCAAAGAAUCCUCCUGGCACAAAUUAUGCUCAAGUGUAGUUAUCGAACCCGAGACCUCAAGUUUGAUGAGCGAACAGGCUAACCAGCUACACAACCCUCUCGUUAUGUUCAACGAGAGGGAAAUAACCUUUUAUACAUUCCUGCAUUCGUGUGACAAGCAUGCCGUGUUUUUUGUGUGUGUGGGAGUCAUUGGGAUUUCAAUCAUAAUCGUGUCAUGUGGCUUUGGUGGUAAGACUAUCCAAAGUGGUGCAGAAAUAAUGCAGGCUUAGUCACCUUACCUCUCUCCAUGUAGUACGUUGGGUCCCACCAGUCAGAGGGUGAAACAAACAAAUUAAUAAGAAAAUUUAAAAGCGCCAGCGGUGUAUCUUACCUCACACGUCUCGCUACUUCUCGGGAACACUGUCCAAUUGAUCCCUCUGUUCGCUCACAUACUAUUUUAAGUGAAUCCUUAUUAUAACAUGCACACAAAUUUUGGGCACUUGUAUUCGACUUAAGUCAAUGUGCCACCGUAUCUCGUAUACUUACUACUCCCUUCGUCUAGGUGUAAUAAGUCACGUUAGAAGGUGCAACGGGACCAAGGUGCGUGCGUGUGUGCGUGUGUGUGUGUGUGUUUAACAGCAUGUGUGUGUUAGAGAGAGCGACAGAUCGACCUACUCCUACAGAGAGAUGUUGUGUAGUGUACGAUUUUAGCCGCGGGAGUCGGUGCAUCCUCUCGUUUCCGGGCGUGUCCGGUAGGGACAUGCGGACAGCUGCCACACCCGCUCCUGACCAGCCUGGCCCACCCAAAGCCCCUCCAUCGCCCGCGCGCGCUUCCCGCCCAAAACGGUCAGCGCCGCUCCAAAGAAUCGGUGCCGCAUUCAUGCUCGGGCAGAGCGGACGCGACCUCUCACUGGCGCAAGAGUGAUGGUUGCUUCGUCCGUCCAACUUACUGCUGGGUCUAUGUGAUUUGACGGCUCAUUGGUCUUUAUUACUGAGGUGGUAGGACUACUGGAUGUCCCACGCUUUCGGCGAAAGGAGGUAGUACUACUAGAUUACAAUUUUCUCCAUUCUUGCAGCGGAGGCGUGCAAGAGCAGUGAAAACACGCAGGCUCAGUGAUUACAUGGCCCACCUCACACUAUCACCGUGCGACACCUAACUCUUUACAUAGUACUCCCUCCGUUCCUAAAUAUUACUAGAUGAGUCCUCGCGCGUUGCCGCGGAACAGCGGUAUAUCUCUCUGCGCAAAAUUAUCGAUUUCAUAGAACUAAAAAAAACUCUAUAACCGCAUGACAAAUGUGGUAGCCAAACUAAAUAAACUCCCAUCAUCAUUUAGAUCAUCCCACGUAAGGAAAAAAGAUCAGCCAACUCCUACUGCAUAAUGGGAUUAUAUUUUUAUUUUUGACAUGUUAAUGAGACUUAAAAGCUCACUUACAUGCAUGCUACCAGUGCAUGCUUGCAUGCAGACAUGUUGAUGUGAUUUAAAACCCACUCACAUGCAUGUGCCACGGUAUUUCUGCAUGCUUGCAUGUGGCUUAGUGCGGAGCCUCUCAACGUCUAGAUCAGACGGCUAUUAUGGACUAAUUUACUUCAUCUAACGGCUACAUCAAUUUUGCUGAUGUGGCUCAAGGAGAGGAUAGAGAAUUCCUAGUAGUGGGGGCUAGCUAUUACUAGUAGAUAAGUCUUUGUAGAGAUUCCACUACAUACGGAACAAAAUGAAUGAAUCUACACUUAAAAUGCAUCUAUAUACAUCCGCAUGUGGUUCAUGGUGAAAUCUCUACAAAGACUUAUAUUUAGGAACGGAGGAAGUAUUAGUAUAGUACGUACUGUAAUUUAUCAGCGGGAUAAAUUUGUACAAUGCUAUGAAGCUUCCAGCUUCUGUUACAUGUAUCUUGCGUCCAAGGUUGCCCGUUGCAACAUUUCAUCAAAUACAAAGGAGACUAACAUGCAUGCUAUUGCAUCUCAAUGAUUGACAGAUCAUAGCAAAUAUGUACUCCCUCCAUCCCAAAAUAAGUGUCUCAACUUUGUGCAAACUUUAGUACAAAGUUGUACUACUACUAAAGUUGACACUUAUUUUGGAACAGAGGCAGCUAAAGAAAAAAAGAUCCAUGCAGUCCCUAGCCCUUGAACCGUGAACCCUGACCAGGCUUCAAUUUGCUGGCAACGUUCGAGCUUCCUAAUAAAUGAAGUUUGCAACCUUUUGACCAUCGGAUCAUUUUGUGCAGUUUCACCAAAAUCGAGAUGAGCAUCCCUGUGGCAAAGAAAUUGAAGAAGAGUGAUUAGAAUAAGAUUACUGGGACUAGUUGAUGAGACAUAAACUCAUCACAAAUACAGUACGUAGAAGCCAGUAGAGGUAUUUGCGGGGCAAAGAAGUAGAGAAAUAUCCACAGGGAGUGAUGUGGGCAGCUGGAGCAGCGGUGCAAGCCGGCUGUAAAGGGAGUUGUACCUGAGGGACGUAGCACAACCUUGAGGAGGGCAGCGGGAGGCGGCAACUGCCCACGUCGCGGCAGUGAGCAAGGGACGAAGGCAACCUCACCGGCUUUGUGAGAGAGAACAGCGGGGACCCCUGAUCGGGACGUGCCGACAGUGGGUUUUCGCCGUCGGCGACGGCCACCGCAUCUACACUAAGCAUCCACCCCUUCCCCAAGCGGACGUGAUCCGCCGGGAUGUUAGAGAUGUGGCCACAGUCGUUUUGUGCGAGAGAGUGUGAAGAGAGCAACCCCAGCAGGCAACCGUGUAGGCUGGCCCGUCCUGACUAUGUAUAUAGUGGAGUGGUUUCCUUUUCUCUCCAUAUGAACCUAUCAUAUUGCGUACGUGCCACUGAAGAAAAAAAACUUUAUUUAUAAAUGACGCGGCACCUUCUACUCGUUCUCCUAUAACCUUGCGCUUGGCAUCUCCAAAAUAUUAACCUUGCAAUUGGCUCUUCGCCUCUUCGGGAAGUCGAGCAAUAAUGGUAGUGCAGUAUAUAUCGUUCUGGCUAUAUGAGACCGAAUGAAUUGCUGCACGUCCACCACGUGGGCGAGGGUCGAGGGGUGAGGGAGAGUGCUACAUACGGAGCAAAAUGAGUGAAUCUACACUCUAAAAUACGUCUAUAUACAUCAGUGUUUGGAGUAUGUACUAGUAGUUCAUAUUGAAAUCUACUAAAGGACAUAUAUAUUCCAAACAAUAUGAUAUAAUCUCUAUAACCAAGGUAGUAGGGACGAGGAGUAAACGGAGGGAGUAGUAAUUUUUUCUCCUCGUCCUGCGAGCCACCGCGCGCAUGGGCGAGGGAGCGGGCGUAAGGCGGAGCAAGCUUCACCUCAUCCCGCGAGCCACCGCGCCCGUGGGCAAGGGAGACGGCAUACUAAGCAAGCUUCUCCUCGUUCUGCGAGUUGACGGGACACAUCAAAAGUACUCUAGUGUAUAGAGCCUUGCCUCUAAGGUAGGCCCCACAUGGUUUGCCUCUUUUUUUAACAUAACACGUCAAGUCGCAAUUUGUUUGUUCACCCGUGGUAGACAAUCCUCCCUCCACCAAGUGGACAACCAGUACACGUGCCAAAUUACCACGUGGGCUGCCUUUUUCGUACAGAAAUGAGCUCCACCGUGUACCGCGCGGGUGUGGUUGGGAAAGAGACGGGAGUACGUGCGCCGUGCAUGCACCUCUUCUCUUCGUGCACGCCCCCCACCUGCGUGGGUGUGUGUGAGAGAUACAAACCGCGUUCGUGAGUGUUUUUUGUUUUGGGGUGGGGGUGGGGUGGGGGGUUGAUUUCGUGAAUUAUUUGUGGGAAUAUGUGUCGAUGACAUCUCAAACAAAAUUUUGCAUGCAAUGUGUGUGAAAUGGAGGCCUAUCCAUAUCAUACAUAGAGGGUCGGGCAAUCCACGAGAAGAGAGGGAGGGGUCAUAGCUAUCGAUAGAGUCGAAGAGAGGAUCAAGUGGGUGGGUGCGAGAUCGAUGAAGAGAGNNNNNNNNNNNNNNNNNNNNNNNNNNNNNNNNNNNNNNNNNNNNNNNNNNNNNNNNNNNNNNNNNNNNNNNNNNNNNNNNNNNNNNNNNNNNNNNNNNNNNNNNNNNNNNNNNNNNNNNNNNNNNNNNNNNNNNNNNNNNNNNNNNNNNNNNNNNNNNNNNNNNNNNNNNNNNNNNNNNNNNNNNNNNNNNNNNNNNNNNNNNNNNNNNNNNNNNNNNNNNNNNNNNNNNNNNNNNNNNNNNNNNNNNNNNNNNNNNNNNNNNNNNNNNNNNNNNNNNNNNNNNNNNNNNNNNNNNNNNNNNNNNNNNNNNNNNNNNNNNNNNNNNNNNNNNNNNNNNNNNNNNNNNNNNNNNNNNNNNNNNNNNNNNNNNNNNNNNNNNNNNNNNNNNNNNNNNNNNNNNNNNNNNNNNNNNNNNNNNNNNNNNNNNNNNNNNNNNNNNNNNNNNNNNNNNNNNNNNNNNNNNNNNNNNNNNNNNNNNNNNNNNNNNNNNNNNNNNNNNNNNNNNNNNNNNNNNNNNNNNNNNNNUGUGUUGAGAAGGAGAGACCCAGCUAUGUCUUGAAGGAGAUCGGUCGACAUCCAUACAUAACUGAAGGACAGGAAAUAUGAUGGGACAGAGAGAGAGAGGAGAGAGAGAGGGAGGGAGGGGGAGGGGGAGGGGUAGAGUGCUGGAUGGGUGAUGGAGUUGCUUCUCGAAGAUGGUGGGAGAGGCCUACUAGACAAACUGAGGGUGGAACUGCAAUGUUAUCAAUAAGAGUGGGGAUGUGUUUCUGUGUGUUCCUGUGCGUGAUAGAUCUGUCGGGACACAUCCAUGGAUGAUGAAGGGGAACCAUGUGUUUGGUAAGCAAACCUAACUAGAUCGGUAGAUCAAUUGUUGUUUGUCGGAGGAAGGGAGAGACACAACUAAUGAGGUAGAUCGAUUGACGUGUGGGUAAAAACGAGUUAUAAGGACCUAGCUAGCUAUAUGUAUAGCGAGAUAUCAGUCGGUGUACGUCCAUUUGUUAGAGGCAAAUAAGGCCCAACGAGACGGAUAGACAGAGAGAAUGGAGCUAGGAGGUGGUGCGAGAGGCCUAACUACUAGCUAGAUAGGGGGAGGAGUGUGCGGUUGUGAGAUCGAUGAAAAGAGGGGCGAGAGUUUACACGUGUGUCUAACCGUAUGAGAGACACGAGGCAAGGACACAUAAAGGAGGAGAUUGAAGGUGUGUGUGUGUAUGUUGUAGGCAGGCAUCGCUGGAGAGGUUUAUCGAUCGGUGUGUGUCGGAAAGGAGUUGUGGAGACUCUGGGAGAACGACCUAAAGAAAAAAAUGAAUGUGCCCGGUGGAUAGAAUGCCGAGGGAGGGGGAGGGCGAGGAGGGCGUGUGCAUGCACGAGAGAAAGUUAGUGGUAGCUACAAAGGUUAGAGGAUUGUGUGGGUGUAAGUGACUAACAAAGAUCAUAAUUUGAUAUGAAAGCGGAUUCAUAUAUUUGAAUAGGAGAUCAUAGUGUUUUAAACAUUGCAUGCAUGAAUAUAGCGGUGAUACACGUACUGUGCACAUGUUAUACCAUAAUGUGAUAAUGCAUGGCGUUUGCAACUCACAGCAAAUGCCGAACAAUCUAAACCAUACUAUACAUCAAACAAUCUCACAUUUUAUUUGAAUUUGUAAUAAUGUGUGGCAUUUGCAGCUUACAACUAAAUAUCGAACAAUCUAAACAAUACUAUAUAUCGAACAUUCUCACAUUUUAUUUGAAUUUGUGGUAAUGUGUGGUGUUUGCAACUCACAUCUAAAUACUUGUAGGCGUAGGGGCGGGGCACCAUACAUAAUGUGAUAAACACAUUAUACAUAUGAGACAUGGUUUAGAUUAUGAACAUCUAGCUAGAGCUAGAAAUGUAAUGUGAUUUGAAAUCAAAAUAAAGUGGAUUCAAAAAAUCUAGUUCGAGUUCAUAUAGUACACAUAGUUCAUAUGUAACUCGAGACUAAUCAUGUGGUGUGCUGUGAAGAUAAUACACAAACGAUGGUUUAACUUGACAAUAAUGAUGAUUGUAGAUCUUAUUAAAACAGAGAAACGAAUUCAAAUGCUUUGACUUCACAACAAUCAUUACUGUAGAUCUUAUUCAAAUAGAGAAACGAAUUCAAAUUUAGUUCAUAUUGAAGCGGUAGUAUAUACGUUUGGAAUGCACUAAAACGUUCAUUUGAGUAGUAGGUUGCAUGCAUUAUACCGUAGCGAAAUAUUUUAAUUGAACAUAACAUGAAUUCAAAGUUUUGAAUGACAUUUGUAGUGCGCAUUGAUUUGGUACAGUACACGUUAGGCUUGUCCGGAAAUUUCAACCCGCGCCUUGUUAGCCCGAAAUAUUUAAGAUAUAUCUUUCUCUCGUUGUGCUCCGACAACUCCCUCCAUCUCAACCCGCGCCUUGCUAUUCCGAAAUUACAACGCGCGCGAAAACUCCCACCUCGUGUGAAAUCCCGACACGCGAAAUGCCCGUGCUACCCCUGAACUGAAAGAACCGCCUCAAAUCGUUGGGGGUACUUUCAUAACUUACCCCACAGUUCGGAUAAGCGCGUCUCUAAGCCAUGGUUCCCCACUGCCAUCCCAUCCGCCCACCCAUUCGUACACCGAGGCCGCGAAAACCCGCGACGAAACCGCACACCCUGCUCCGUUCGCCACCCAGCCGGAGCCUCAUCCCCGACGACGUCGUCCACAGUAACACCUCGACGUCCCUCAUCCACCGUACCGGAUGAGGAUCCGUCGUCGAUCUCAUCGUCCCGCCGGUUCAGCCACCCCGUCCUCCACCUCCAAGGAGCUGCCCCGACGUUCCCCUCGUCUUUCGCGCCACCUCCAUUCCCACACCGCCGUCUUCACCUGCACCACCGAAAGAGCAUCAUCAUCACCGUUUCCUCGGAUGAAGCUGCGGCCUAAUCGGCGCCACCAAAGAGGUUGUACACUAAUCGCCACAUUUUCUUCUUGAUUCAAUAUCACGGUGCUGCCGGCGCUCGGUCCCGAGCCGACACGGCGCGGCUCCAUCCACGGCGGCGUCGCUGGCCACUUCCUCCAUGGCGUCGCUCCCUCGGCGGCGACGUCCACAUCAGUAGGAGCUGCUGCUGCUUUAGCUCUCGCUCGCGCUGCUGCUCUGCUCUUGCUCUCGGUCCCCUGCCUGGUCUGCUCUUGCUAUUGCUCUUGCUCGCGCUGCUGCUCUCGCUCUUGCUCUUGCUUGCGAUGCUACUCCGAUUUAGCUACACUUCAGUCGACUGAAUCGACUUUUGGGUCAGUCGAUUUUCNNNNNNNNNNNNNNNNNNNNNNNNNNNNNNNNNNNNNNNNNNNNNNNNNNNNNNNNNNNNNNNNNNNNNNNNNNNNNNNNNNNNNNNNNNNNNNNNNNNNNNNNNNNNNNNNNNNNNNNNNNNNNNNNNNNNNNNNNNNNNNNNNNNNNNNNNNNNNNNNNNNNNNNNNNNNNNNNNNNNNNNNNNNNNNNNNNNNNNNNNNNNNNNNNNNNNNNNNNNNNNNNNNNNNNNNNNNNNNNNNNNNNNNNNNNNNNNNNNNNNNNNNNNNNNNNNNNNNNNNNNNNNNNNNNNNNNNNNNNNNNNNNNNNNNNNNNNNNNNNNNNNNNNNNNNNNNNNNNNNNNNNNNNNNNNNNNNNNNNNNNNNNNNNNNNNNNNCUAUCUACCUUAGGGUUCAGGAUGGGGGCGGUGGUCGCCGGCGGUGGCGGGGCGUUGGCGUGGGGAUCGCCGGAGAAAAAGCUCGGCACGGGGGGCCUAGAGGGAUGGCCGGGGCGGCGGCGGACCGGCGGUGGGGAGUGUUUUCGGGGCGGGCGGGGCGGCGGGGGGCUGUUGUUUGGCCGGUGGUGGCUGGCGGCUCAGGGGGGUGGAAGUUGAAGAUGAACCGCAGGCCCUUGAUUUCGUAUCCAACGGCUGCAAAAUCGACUGACCAGAGAUGAAAAAGUCAGUCGACCGACGUGUAGCCUCACCUUGCUAGUGCGUUCAGUUUCGACAGCAAAAUUCAGUUUUGACAGCAAAAUUCAGUUUUGACAGUUAAGUUCAGUUUCGACAGUUAAGUUCAGAGAUGAGCGGCUGAUGUAUUUUACAUCUAGCACUUUGUGGUUAUGUAUUUUACGUCAUGUAUUGGAGAUGCUAUUAGAAUUCCACUCAGGUUAACGUUGUUCAUUGUCUCUCUUGUCUUGCUUCAGCCUCGGCGUCGUACAACUCACCGAGCUGCUCCAACGACGAAACCCUCCAUCACAGCGGAGCAGUACCUCGGGCUCCAUCUCCAGACGUCUAAGAUCUUCUUCCCCUCCUCCUACAGCAAAGUCAGCCGGAGCAUCCUCACCGGCCAACCCAAUCAUGCUGAGACCGACAUGGCUUCGCCAAAGAGGUUGUACACUUGUUGCAUCUCUUUUUUACUCUACAUGUUAUAUAUAUUGUCCACUGAGGACACGGAUUUGUUCCUUUAGUGUCUCCUUGAAAGAAAAAACGUAGGAAUUUUAAUUUUCACUUGUCCUCCUUUUCAAAUUCCUAUUCAUGAAGCACAAGACUAAGAGAUAGUAUCAUAAUAGCAUUAUAACCGUACAUUUUCUUGUGGUUUGACUUAAUCUCACCAUGCUUCUUUGCAUCCUAUGAUCUUCCAAUUGUUGUGAAUCAAACACCCAGAUUGGCAGAAAUCCUGUGUUUUUAAAUUCUCUGUUUUGCACGUGCAUUCCUAUCCUAUUCUUGUCUAUUUCAUAUCCCUGCAUUGUUGGAAUUCUCCAAUUCAAACGAGCCCUUAUAGAAUUACUUCUCUUACAAAUAGUUGUCAAAGAAAACCUUGCGUGGUUUGUCCCGCUCCUGCUGCGCCGUCGUCCACCCCAGCUCAGCUGCUCCAACGACAGAAGGGUCCAGCACAGCAGGGAUCCAGCCUCCAGACUGUCUUUCGCCGCCUCAGAUCUUCUUCCCCGCCGCUGGCAGCCAUGAAAACUGCAUUACCAUCAUCAACCGAGCAGAUGACCUCGAGGACUACAUGGGUCCGCAAGAGAGGUCGCACUCUUUCAUGUCUGCUUACGUUAUGCAUCGCUUAAUAUUACAUGCUAAUUUAUCGUCCUGUUCACCGAUUUGACUCUGAGUCAGCUCCAAACUAAUGGUCAAACUUGAGUUUUUAAAUGGUUGUGGGGUAUAUAUCGGGGCCGCUAUCAAUAGUAUCUAUCUACUAUCUGGUUAAUCUCCGGUGUCUACUAUGAGUUUCAUGUUGGGUGGGAAACAAACAGUAAAGAAGCCAUUAUCUGUAUUUUUUAACUGAAGCCAUUAUCUGCCUGCUAUUAUUGGUUUUGGGUCUAUCCAUAGGUUGCUACCAUCACUCUGGAUUUUUGCAUGCACUCCUUACAUAAUCUCACUAUGUUUUAUUCCUAUGCAUGACAGUUAUUGUAAACAAUGGAACUGAACAUGUAGAGCAAAAGAGACGAGCCUUGCGUGGCAAUAAAAUUUCAUGCAGACGUCGCUCCAUGGUAGGCGCAAAGGCAGCCCCCCCUCCACGCAUUUCGGAUUGUAAUCGAGAGGGAGAUAUCUGUUCUGAGGGGGAUUCAGAAGGAGAAGACAACUCCUAUUACCCCCUGAGGUCUUUGCUCUAACUUGGCAUGUUGAUGUUGGUUAUAUCAUGCAUAUGGUGUCUUGCAUUGCUUACUUUAUACAUCAAAUAUGUCAUCUGCUUAGUUUAGACAUCCUUUGUGUGAAUGCCAUCUGUUUAGUUUAUUCAUCGUUUAUGUGAAUUAUGCAACGCCAUCUUGUUUAGCCAGGCAUCAUAUAUGUGAAUUUUGCAAUGCCAUCCUGCUUAGCCAGUCAUCUUAUAUGUAAAUUAUAUCAGGCCAUCCUUUUUUUUCGUUACAUAUUACAUUUGUCAACAAUGUUAGUACAUUCAACUGCUCUUCGUGUGCAUCAGCCAUUUGACACGGUGAUGGCAAAUUCUGGAGUGAAAACAAGGUCUUCAGAGCAGACUAUGCUAUCUGACGAACCGCAUAUCUCGCUGGUUACGGAUAGCUCCUCAGAGGAGGAUUCAGAGACAGAUGACCAGUCCUAUUCCCCCCCCGAGGUGUAUGCUCUAACUUGGCAGGGUUAUGUUGCUCAUAUCAUGCGUAUGGUGUCUCACAUUGCUAUGUCAUUUGAUUAGUUUAGACAUGCUUUGUGUGAAUGCCACCUGUUCAGUGUCUAAUUACCAUAUAUGUGAAUUAUGCAUUGCCAUCUUGUUGCAAGACAUUAUAUAUGUGAAUUAUACAAUGCUAUCUUGUUGCAAAGGCAUUAUAUAUGUGAAUUAUACAAUGCCAUGCUAUUUAGCCAAUCAUCAUGUAUGUGAAUUAUAUCAUGCUAUCAUUUUUUUGUAUUACGUGUUCCAUUUGUCGACAACGUUUGUAUAUUCAACUACUCUUCCUGUGCAUCAGCCAUUUGAAGCGGUGAUCGAAGUAUCUGGAGUGAAAACAAGGUAUUCAGAGCAGACAAUGCUACCUGCUGAAGCAGACAUCUUGCUGGUUACAGAUAGCUCCUCAGAGGAGGAUUCAGAGACUGAUGACCAGUCCUAUUUCCCCCCUGAGGUCUAUGCUCAAACUUGGCAGGGUUAUAUUACCCAUGUCAUGCAUGUUGUCUUGCAUUGCUUAGUUUUUACAUCAUAUAUGGAUUGACAUCUGCUUACUUGCUUACUAUAUAAAUCAUAUAUUUGAAUUAUAUCAUGCCAUCAUGUUUACAUAGUACAUACACAUCAUCUAUCUGAAUUAUGGCAUGGCAACCCAUUUAAUAAAGACAUCAUAUAGUUAUAUCAUCUCAUCCUGUUUAGUGUUUACAGUCAUCAUAUUUUGAAUUAUGGCAUUCUAUCCGUGAAUGUAUGUGAAUUAUGGCAUGCCAACCUAUUUAAUAAACACAUUAUAUAGUUAUGUCAUGUCAUCCUGUUUACAUAGUCUCAUAUUUUGAACUAUGUCUUUCCAUCUUUUUUAGUUAGCCAUCAUAAUGUGAAAUUGUGUCAUGCUAUCCUGUUUAGUUAGCCAUCAUAUAUGUGAAAUUGUGUCAUGCUAUCCUGUUUGGUUAGACAACAUAAAUAUGAAUUAUUCCAUGCCCUCUUUUAUUCCCCACUAUCCAUUGCACUUGUCUAUCAUACAAUGUCUAUACUUUCAAUUACUUUUCUUGUUUAUCAGCCAUUUGAAUUGGAGAGCGUGAUGGCAGUAUCUAAGGGAGUAACAACACGGUCUUCAGAAAAGAUAGUGCUACCAGUUGAUGCAGAUAGAACCACGGUUGUACUUGCCCAAGGAACAGAUCCACCACACAUAACCCAGACUCUCGCAGAUUGUACCCCUACCCAGUUGGACAGAGAACUAGCUACACCCCUUCUAACCCCAACCCCGACAGAUAGUAACCCAGUUCCAGUUGACACAGCACCGUCUCCACCACAGAGCUGUUGGGGAACGUAGUAAUUUCAAAAUUUUCCUACGCACACGCAAGAUCAUGGUGAUGCAUAGCAACGAGAGGGGAGAGUGUUGUCCACGUACCCUCGUAGACCGAAAGCGGAAGCGUUAACACAACGCGGUUGAUGUAGUCGUACGUCUUCACGAUCCGACCGUUCAAGUACCGAACGCACGGCACCUCCGAGUUCAGCACACGUUCAGCUCGAUGACGUCCCACGAACUCCGAUCCAGCCGAGUGUUGAGGGAGAGUUUUGUCAGCACGACGGCGUGGUGACAAUGAUGAUGUUCUACCAACGCAGGGCUUCGCCUAAGCACCGCUACGAUAUUAUCGAGGUGUAAUAUGGUGGAGAGGGGCACCGCACACGGCUAAGAGAUCAAUAGAUCAACUGUUGUGUCUAUGGGGUGCCCCCCUGCCCCCGUAUAUAAAGGAGCAAGGGGGAAGGCGGCCGGCCUAGGAGGAGGGCGCGCCAAGGGGGGAGUCCUACGAGUAGGACUCCUCCUUUCCUUGUUGGAGUAGGAGAAGGGAAGGGAGAAGGAGAAGGAAGGAAGGGGGCGCCCCCCCUCCCUAGUCCAAUUCGGACUAGUCCAUGGGGAGGGGUGCGGCCACCCUUUGGGGCCUUUCUCUCCUUUCCCGUAUGGCCCAUUAAGGCCCAAUACGAAUUCCCGUAACUCUCCGGUACUCCAAAAAAUACCCGAAUCACUCUGAACCUUUCCGAUGUCUGAAUAUAGUCGUCCAAUAUAUAGAUUUUUACGUCUCGACCGUUUCGAGACUCCUCGUCAUGUCCCUGAUCUCAUCCGGGACCCCGAACUCCUUCGGUACAUCAAAACUCAUAAACUCAUAAUAAAACUGUCAUCGUAACGUUAAGCGUGCGGACCCCGCGGGUUCGAGAACUAUGUAGACAUGACCGAGACACCUCGCCGGUCAAUAACCAAUAGCGGAACCUGGAUGCUCAUAUUGGUUCCCACAUAUUCUACGAAGAUCUUUAUCGGUCAGACCGCAUAACAACAUACGUUGUUCCCUUUGUCAUCGGUAUGUUACUUGCCCGAGAUUCGAUCGUCGGUAUCUCGAUACCUAGUUCAAUCUCGUUACCGGCAAGUCUCUUUACUCGUUCCGUAAUACAUCAUCCCGCAACUAACUCAUUAGUCACAAUGCUUGCAAGGCUUAUAGUGAUGUGUAUUACUGAGUGGGCCCAGAGAUACCUCUCCGACAAUCGGAGUGACAAAUCCUAAUCUUGAAAUACGCCAACCCAACAAGUACCUUUGGAGACACCUGUAGAGCACCUUUAUAAUCACCCAGUUACGUUGUGACGUUUGGUAGCACACAAAGUGUUCCUCCGGUAAACGGGAGUUGCAUAAUCUCAUAGUCAUAGGAACAUGUAUAAGUCAUGAAGAAAGCAAUAGCAACAUACUCAACGAUCGAGUGCUAAGCUAACGGAAUGGGUCAAGUCAAUCACAUCAUUCUCCUAAUGAUGUGAUCCCGUUAAUCAAAUGACAACUCAUGUCUAUGGCUAGGAAACAUAACCAUCUUUGAUCAAUGAGCUAGUCAAGUAGAGGCAUACUAGUGACACUCUGUUUGUCUAUGUAUUCACACAUGUAUCAUGUUUCCGGUUAAUACAAUUCUAGCAUGAAUAAUAAACAUUUAUCAUGAAAUAAGGAAAUAAAUAAUAACUUUAUUAUUCCCUCUAGGGCAUAUUUCCUUCAGUCUCCCACUUGCACUAGAGUCAAUAAUCUAGUUCACAUCGUCAUGUGAUUUAACAUCAAUAGUUCACAUCACCAUGUGAUUAACACCCAUAGUUCACAUCGUCAUGUGACCAACACCCAAAGGGUUUACUAGAGUCAAUAAUCUAGUUCACAUCGCUAUGUGAUUAACACCCAAAGAGUACUAAGGUGUGAUUAUGUUUUGCUUGUGAGAUAAUUUUAGUCAACGGGUCUGUCACAUUCAGAUCCGUAAGUAUUUUGCAAAUUUCUAUGUCUACAAUGCUCUGCACGGAGCUACUCUAGCUAAUUGCUCCCACUUUCAAUAUGUAUCUAGACCGAGACUUAGAGUCAUCUAGAUUAGUGUCAAAACUUGCACCGACGUAACCCUUUACGAUGAACCUUUUGUCACUUCCAUAAUCGAGAAACAUAUCCUUAUUCCAGUAAGGAUAAUUUUGACCGUUGUCCAAUGAUCUACUCCUAGAUCACUAUUGUACUCCCUUGCCAAAAUCAGUGUAGGGUAUACAAUAGAUCUGGUACACAGCAUGGCAUACUUUAUAGAACCUAUGGCCGAGGCAUAGGGAAUGACUUUCAUUCUUUUUCUAUCUUCUGCCGUGGUCGGGCUUUGAGUCUUACUCAAUUUCACACCUUGUAACACAGGCAAGAAACUCUUUCUUUGACUAUUCCAUUUUGAACCACUUCAAAAUCUUGUUAAGGUAUGUACUCAUUGAAAAAACUUAUCAAGCGUCUUGAUCUAUCUCUAUAGAUCUUGAUGCUCAAUAUGUAAGCAGCUUCACCGAGGUCUUUGUUUGAAAAACUCCUUUCAAACACUCCUUUAUGCUUUGCAGAAUAAUUCUACAUUAUUUCCGAUCAACAAUAUGUCAUUCACAUAUACUUAUCAGAAAUGUUGUAGUGCUCCCACUCACUUUCUUGUAAAUACAGGCUUCACCGCAAGUCUGUAUAAAACUAUAUCCUUUGAUCAACUUAUCAAAGCGUAUAUUCCAACUCCGAGAUACUUGCGCCAGUCCAUAGAUGGAUCGCUGGAGCUUGCAUAUUUUGUUAGCACCUUUAGGAUUGACAAAACCUUCUGGUUGCAUCAUAUACAACUCUUCUUUAAUAAAUCCAUUAAGGAAUGCAGUUUUGUUUAUCCAUUUGCCAGAUUUCAUAAAAUGCGGCAAUUGCUAACAUGAUUCGGACAGACUUAAGCAUAGAUACGAGUGAGAAACUCUCAUCGUAGUCAACACCUUAAACUUGUCGAAAAACCUUUUUGCGACAAUUCUAGCUUUGUAGAUAGUAACACUACUAUCAGCGUCCGUCUUCCUCUUGAAGAUCCAUUUAAUCUCAAUGGCUCGCCGAUCAUUGGGCAAGUCAAUCAAAGUCCAUACUUUGUUCUCAUACAUGGAUCUCAUCUCAGAUUUCAUGGCCUCAAGCCAUUUUGCGGAAUCUGGGCUCACCAUCGCUUCUUCAUAGUUUGUAGGUUCGUCAUGGUCUAGUAACAUAACCUCCAGAACAGGAUUACCGUACCACUCUGGUGUGGAUCUUACUCUGGUUGACCUAUGAGGUUUAGUAACAACUUGAUCUGAAAUUUCAUGAUCAUCAUCAUUAACUUCCUCACUCAUUGGUAUAGUCGUCACAGGAACCGUUUUCUGUGAUGAACUACUUUCCAAUAAGGGAGCAGGUACAGUUACCUCAUCAAGUUCUACUUUCCUCCCACUCACUUCUUUCGAGAGAAACUCCUUCUCUAGAAAGGAUCCAUUCUUAGCAACGAAUGUCUUGCCUUCAGAUCUGUGAUAGAAGGUGUACCCAACAGUCUCCUUUGGGUAUCCUAUGAAGAUACAUUUCUUCGAUUUGGGUUCUAGCUUAUCAGGUUGAAGCUUUUUCACAUAAGCAUCGCAGCCCCAAACUUUAAGAAACGACAACUUUGGUUUCUUGCCAAACCACAGUUCAUAAGGCGUCGUCUCAACGGAUUUUAGAUGGUGCCCUAUUUAACGUGAAUGCAGCUGUCUCUAAUGCAUAACCCCAAAACAAUAGUGGUAGAUCGGUAAGAGACAUCAUAUAUCGCACCAUAUCUAAUAAAGUACGGUUACGAUGUUCGGACACACCAUUACACUGUGGUGUUCCAGGUGGCGUGAGUAGUGAAACUAUUUCACAUUGUUUAACUGAAGGCCAAACUCGUAACUCAAAUACUCUUCUCCACGAUCAGAUCGUAGAAACUUUGUUUUUCUUGUUACGAUUAUUUUCCACUUCACUCUGAAAUUAUAUAAACUUUUCAAAUGUUUCAGACUUCUGUUUCAUUAAGUAGAUAUACCCAUAUCUGCUCAAAUCAUCUGUGAAGGUCAGAAAAUAAUGAUACCUGCUACGAGCCUCAAUAUUCAUCGGACCACAUACAUCUGUAUGUAUGAUUUCCAACAAAUCUGUUGCUCUCUCCAUAGUUCCGGAGAACGGUGUUUUAGUCAUCUUGCCCAUGAGGCACGGUUCGCAAGCAUCAAGUGAUUCAUAAUCAAGUGAUUCCAAAAUCCCAUCAGUAUGGAGUUUCUUCAUGCGCUUUACACCAAUAUGACCUAAACGGCAGUGCCACAAAUAAGUUCCACUAUCAUUAUUAACUUUGCAUCUUUUGGCUUCAUUAUUAUGAAUAUGUGUAUCACUACGAUCGAGAUCCAACAAACCAUUUUAUUGGGUGUAUUACCAUAGAAGGUUUUAUUCAUGUAAACAGAACAACAAUUAUUCUCUAAUUUAAAUGAAUAACCGUAUUGCAACAAACAUGAUCAAAUCAUAUUCAUGCUCAACGCAAACACCAAAUAACACUUAUUUAGGUUCAACACUAAUCCCGAAAGUGUAGGGAGCGUGCGAUGAUGAUCAUAUCAAUCUUGGAACCACUUCCAACACACAUCGUCACUUUACCCUUAACUAGUUUCUGUUCAUUCUGCAACUCCCGUUUCGAGUUACUACUCUUAGCAACUGAACCAGUAUCAAAUGCCGAGGGGUUGCUACGAACACUAGUAAAAUACACAUUAAUAAUCUGUAUAUCAAAUAUACCUUUAUUCACUUUUGCCAUCCUUCUUAUCCGCCAAAUACUUGGGGCAGUUCCGCUUCCAGUGACCAGUCCCUUUGCAGUAGAAGCACUUAGUCUCAGGCUUAGGUACAGACUUGGGCUUCUUCACUUGAGUAGCAACUUGCUUGCCGUUCUUUUUGAAGUUCCCCUUCUAUCCCUUUGCCCUUUUCUUGAAACUAGUGGUCUCAUCAACCAUCAACACUUGAUGUUUUUCUUGAUUUCUACCUUCGUCGAUUUCAGCAUCACGAAGAGCUCGGGAAUUACUUUCGUCAUCCCUUGCAUACUAUAGUUCAUCACGAAGUUCUACUAACUUGGUGAUGGUGACUAGAGAAUUCUGUCAAUCACUAUUUUAUCUGGAAGAUUAACUCCCACUUGAUUCAAGCGAUUGUAGUACCCAGACAAUCUGAGCACAUGCUCACUGCUUGAGCUAUUCUCCUCCAUCUUUUAGCUAUAAAACUUAUUGGAGACUUCAUAUCUCUCAACUCGGGUAUUUGCUUGAAAUAUUAACUUCAACUCCUGGAACAUCUCAUAUGGUCCAUGACAUUCAAAACGUCUUUGAAGUCCCGAUUCUAAGCCGUUAAGCAUGGUGCACUAAACUAUCAAGUAGUCAUCAUAUUGAGCUAGCCAAACGUUCAUAACGUCUGCAUCUGCUCCUGUAAUAGGUCUGUCACCUAGCGGUGCAUCAAGGACAUAAUUUUUCUGUGCAGCAAUGAGGAUAAUCCUCAGAUCACGGAUCCAAUCCGCAUCUUUGCUACUAACAUCUUUCAACAUAAUUUUUCUCUAGGAACAUAUCAAAAAUAAACACAGGGAAGCAACAACGCGAGCUAUUGAUCUACAACAUAAUUUGCAAAAUACUAUCAGGACUAAGUUCAUGAUAAAUUUAAGUUCAAUUAAUCAUAUUACUUAAGAACUCCCACUUAGAUAGACAUCUCUCUAAUCAUCUAGGUGAUUACGUGAUCCAAAUCAACUAAACCAUAACCGAUCAUCACGUGAAAUGGAGUAGUUUUCAAUGGUGAACAUCACUAUGUUGAUCAUAUCUACUAUAUGAUUCACGCUCGACCUUUCGGACUCAGUGUUCCGAGGCCAUAUCUACAUAUGCUAGGCUCGUCAAGUUUAACCUGAGUAUUCCGCGUGUGCAAUUGUUUUGCACCCGUUGUAUUUGAACGUAGAGCCUAUCACACCCGAUCAUCACGUGGUGUCUCAGCACGAAGAACUUUCGCAACGGUGCAUACUCAAGGAGAACACUUUUAUCUUGAAAUUUUAGUGAGAGAUCAUCUUAUAAUGCUACCGUCAAUCAAAGUAAGAUAAGAUGCAUAAAAGAUAAACAUCACAUGCAAUCAAUAUAAGUGAUAUGAUAUGGCCAUCAUCAUCUUGUGCUUGUGAUCUCCAUCUCCGAAGCACCGUCAUGAUCACCAUCGUCACCGGCGCGACACCUUGAUCUCCAUCGUAGCAUCGUUGUCGUCUCGCCAACUAUUGCUUUUACGACUAUCGCUACCGCUUAGUGAUAAAGUAAAACAAUUACAUGGCGAUUGCAUUGCAUACAAUAAAGCGACAACCAUAUGGCUCCUGCCAGUUGCCGAUAACUCGGUUACAAAACAUGAUCAUCUCAUACAAUAAAAUAUAGCAUCAUGUCUUGACCAUAUCACAUCACAACAUGCCCUGCAAAAACAAGUUAGACGUCCUCUACUUUGUUGUUGCAAGUUUUACGUGGCUGCUACGGGCUUAGCAAGAACCGUUCUUACCUACGCAUCAAAACCACAACGAUAGUUUGUCAAGUUGGUGCUGUUUUAACCUUCGCAAGGACCGGCUGUAGCCACACUCGGUUCAACUAAAGUGAGAGAGACAGACACCCGCCAGUCACCUUUAAGCAACGAGUGCUCGCAACGGUGAAACCAGUCUCGCGUAAGCGUACGCGUAAUGUCGGUCCGGGCCGCUUCAUCUCACAAUACCGCCGAACCAAAAUAUGACAUGCUGGUAAGCAGUAUGACUUAUAUCGCCCACAACUCACUUCUGUUCUACUCGUGCAAAUAACAUCAACGCAUAAAACCAGGCUCUGAUACCACUGUUGGGGAACGUAGUAAUUUCAAAAAAUUCCUACGCACACGCAAGAUCAUGGUGAUGCAUACCAACGAGAGGGGAGAGUGUUGUCCACGUACCCUCGUAGACCGAAAGCGGAAGCGUUAACACAACGCGGUUGAUGUAGUCGUACGUCUUCACGAUCUGACCGAUCAACUACCGAACGCACGGCACCUCCGAGUUCAGCACACGUUCAGCUCGAUGAUGUCCCACGAACUCCGAUCCAGCCGAGUGUUGAGGGAGAGUUUUGUCAGCACGACGGCGUGGUGACAAUGAUGAUGUUCUACCGACGCAGGGCUUCGCCUAAGCACCGCUACGAUAUUAUCGAGGUGUAAUAUGGUGGAGAGGGGCACCGCACACGGCUAAGAGAUCAAUAGAUCAAUUGUUGUGUCUAUGGGGUGCCCCCCUGCCCCCGUAUAUAAAGGAGCAAGGGGGAAGGUGGCCGGCCUAGAAGGAGGGCGCGCCAAGGGGGGAGUCCUACUCCCAGCGGGAGUAGGACUCCACCUUUCCUUGUUGGAGUAGGAGAAGGGAAGGGAGAAGGAGAAGGAAGGAAGGGGGCGCCCCCCUCCCUAGUCCAAUUCGGACUAGUCCAUGGGGAGGGGUGCAGCCACCCUUUGGGGCCUUUCUCUCCUUUCCCGUAUGGCCCAUUAAGGCCCAAUACGAAUUCCCGUAACUCUUCGGUACUCCGAAAAAUAUCCGAAUCACUCGGAACCUUUCCGAUGUCCGAAUAUAGUCGUCCAAUAUAUCGAUCUUUACGUCUCGAUCAUUUCGAGACUCCUCGUCAUGUCCCCGAUCUCAUCCGGGACCCCGAACUCCUUCGGUACAUCAAAACUCAUAAACUCAUAAUAAAACUGUCAUCGUAACGUUAAGCGUGCGGACCCUCCGGGUUCGAGAACUAUGUAGACAUGACCGAGACACCUCUCCGGUCAAUAACCAAUAGCGGAACCUGGAUGCUCAUAUUGGUUCCCACAUAUUCUACGAAGAUCUUUAUCGGUCAGACCGCAUAACAACAUACGUUGUUCCCUUUGUCAUCGGUAUGUUACUUGCCCGAGAUUCGAUCGUCGGUAUCUCGAUACCUAGUUCAAUCUCGUUACCGGCAAGUCUCUUUACUCGUUCCGUAAUACAUCAUCCCGCAACUAACUCAUUAGUCACAAUUCUUGCAAGGCUUAUAGUGAUGUGUAUUACUGAAUCGGCCCAGAGAUACCUCUCCGACAAUCGGAGUGACAAAUCCUAAUCUCGAAAUACGCCAACCCAACAAGUACCUUUGGAGACACCUGUAGAGCACCUUUAUAAUCACCCAGUUACGUUGUGACGUUUGGUAGCACACAAAGUGUUCCUCCGGUAAACGGGAGUUGCAUAAUCUCAUAGUCAUAGGAACAUGUAUAAGUCAUGAAGAAAGCAAUAGCAACAUACUCAACGAUCGAGUGCUAAGCUGACGGAUGUUGGGGAACGUAGUAAUUUCAAAAAAAUUCCUACGCACAUGCAAGAUCAUGGUGAUGCAUAGCAACGAGAGGGGAGAGUGUUGUCCACGUACCCUCGUAGACCGACAGCGGAAGCGUUAUCACAACGCGGUUGAUGUAGUCGUACGUCUUCACGAUCCGACCGAUCAAGUACCGAACGUACGGCACCUCCGAGUUCUACACACGUUCAGCUCGAUAACGUCCCUCAAACUCUGAUCCAGCCGAGUGUUGAGGAAGAGUUUCGUCAGCACGACGGCGUGGUGACGAUGAUGAUGUUCCACCGACGCAGGGCUUCGCCUAAGUUCCGCAACGGUAUUAUCGAGGUGUAAUAUGGUGGAGGGGGGCACCGCACACGGCUAAAAGAUCAAAGGAUCAAUUGUUGUGUCUCUGGGGUGCCCCCUGCCCCCGUAUAUAAAGGAGCAAGGGGGAGGCAGCCGGCCAAGUGGAGAGGCGCGCCAUAGGGGGGAGUCCUACUCCCACCGGGAGUAGGACUCCUCCUUUCCUUGUGGGAGUAGGAGAAGGGAAGGGGGAAGGAGAAAGAAGGAAGGGUGCGCCCCCCUUCCCUAGUCCAAUUCGGACCAGACCAUGGGGAGGCGUGCGGCCACCUUUUGAGGCCUUUCUCUCCUUUCCCGUAUGGCCCAUUAAGGCCCAAUACGAAUUCCCGUAACUCUCCGGUACUCCGAAAAAUACCCGAAUCACUCGGAACCUUUCCGAAGUCCGAAUAUAGUCGUCCAAUAUAUCGAUUUUUACGUCUCGACCAUUUCGAGACACCUCGUCAUAUCCCCGAUCUCAUCCGGGACUCCGAACUCCUUCGGUACAUCAAAACUCAAUAAAAGUGUCAUCGUAACGUUAAGCGUGCGGACCCUACGGGUUCGAGAACUAUGUAGACAUGACCGAGAUACGUCUCCGGUCAAUAACCAAUAGCGGGACCUGGAUGCCCAUAUUGACUCCCACAUAUUCUACGAAGAUCUUUAUCGGUCAGUCCGCAUAACAACAUAUGUUGUUCCCUUUGUCAACGGUAUGUUACUUGCCCGAGAUUUGAUCGUCGGUAUCUCGAUACCUAGUUCAAUCUCGUUACCGGCAAGUCUCUUUACUCGUUCUGUAACACAUCAUACCGCAACUAACUCAUUAGUCACAAUGCUUGCAAGGCUUAUAGUGAUGUGCAUUACCGAGUGGGCCCAGAGAUACCUCUCCGAUAAUCGGAGUGACAAAUCCUAAUCUCGAAAUACGCCAACCCAACAAGUACCUUUGGAGACACCUGUAGAGCACCUUUAUAAUCACCCAUUUACGUUGUGACGUUUGGUAGCACACAAAGUGUUCCUCCGGUAAACGGGAGUUGCAUAAUCUCAUAGUCAUAGGAACAUGUAUAAGUCAUGAAGAAAGCAAUAGCAACAUACUAAACGAUCGAGUGCUAAGCUAACGGAAUGGGUCAAGUCAAUCACGUCAUUCUCCUAAUGAGGUGAUCCCGUUAAUCAAAUGACAACUUAUGUCUAUGGCUAGGAAACAUAACCAUCUUUGAUUAACGAGCUAGUCAAGUAGAGGCAUACUAGUGACACUCUGUUUGUCUAUGUAUUCACACAUGUAUUAUGUUUCCGGUUAAUACAAUUCUAGCAUGAAUAAUAAACAUUUAUCAUGAUAUAAGGAAAUAUAUACUACUUUAUUAUUGCCUCUAGGGCAUAUUUCCUUCAGUCUCCCACUUGCACUAGAGUCAAUAAUGUAGUUCACAUCGCCAUGUGAUUUAACAUCAAUAAUUCACAUCACCAUGUGAUUAACACCCAUAGUUCACAUCUCUAUGUGACCAACACUCAAAGGGUUUACUAGAGUCAAUAAUCUAGUUCACAUCGCUAUGUGAUUAACACCCAAAGAGUACUAAGGUGUGAUCAUGUUUUGAUUGUGAGAUAAUUUUAGUCAACGGGUCUGUCACAUUCAGAUCCGUAAGUAUUUUGCAAAUUUCUAUGUCUACAAUGCUUUGCACGGAGCUACUCUAGAUAAUUGCUCCCACUUUCAAUAUGUAUCUAGACCGAGACUUAGAGUCAUCUAGAUUUAGUGUCAAAACUUGCAUCGACGUAACCCUUUACGACGAACCUUUUGUCACUUCCAUAAUCGAGAAACAUAUCCUUAUUCUACUAAGGAUAAUUUUGACCGCUGUCCAGUGAUCUACUCCUAGAUCACUAUUGUACUCCCUUGCCAAAAUCAGUGUAGGGUAUACAAUAGAUCUGGUACACAGCAUGGCAUACUUUAUAGAACCUAUGGCCGAGGCAUAGGGAAUGACUUUCAUUCUUUUUCUAUCUUCUGCCGUGGUAGGGCUUUGAGUCUUACUCAAUUUCACACCUUGUAACACAGGCAAGAAACUCUUUCUUUGACUAUUCCAUUUUGAACCACUUCAAAAUCUUGUUAAGGUAUGUACUCAUUGAAAAAACUUAUCAAGCGUCUUGAUCUAUCUCUAUAGAUCUUGAUGCUCAAUAUGUAAGCAGCUUCACCGAGGUCUUUGUUUGAAAAACUCCUUUCAAACACUCCUUUAUGCUUUGCAGAAUAAUUCUACAUUAUUUCCGAUCAACAAUAUGUCAUUCACAUAUACUUAUCAGAAAUGUUGUAGUGCUCCCACUCACUUUCUUGUAAAUACAGGCUUCACCGCAAGUCUGUAUAGCACUAUAUCCUUUGAUCAACUUAUCAAAGUGUAUAUUCCAACUCCGAGAUGCUUGCACCAGUCCAUAGAUGGAUUGCUGGAGCUUGCAUAUUUUGUUAGCACCUUUAGGAUUGACAAAACCUUCUGGUUGCAUCAUAUACAACUCUUCUUUAAUAAAUCCAUUAAGGAAUGUAGUUUUGUUUUAUCCAUUUGCCAAAUUUCAUAAAAUGCGGCUAUUGCUAACAUGAUUCAGACAGACUUAAGCAUAGAUACGAGUGAGAAGCUCUCAUCGUAGUCAACAGCUUGAACUUGUCGAAAAACCUUUUUGCGACAAUUCUAGCUUUGUAGAUAGUAACACUACUAUCAGCGUCUGUCUUCCUCUUGACGAUCCAUUUUUUUCUCAAUUGCUUGCCGAUCAUCGGGCAAGUCAACCAAAGUCCAUACUUUGUUCUCAUACAUGGAUGCCAUCUCAGAUUUCAUGGCCUCAAGCCAUUUUGCGGAAUCUGGGCUCACCAUCGCUUCUUCAUAGUUCAUAGGUUCGUCAUGGUCUAGUAACAUAACUUCCAGAACAGGAUUACCGUACCACUCUGGUGUGGAUCUUACUCUGGUUGAUCUACGAGGUUCAGUAAUAACUUGAUCUGAAGUUUCAUGAUCAUCAUCAUUAACUUCCUCACUAAUUGGUGUAGGUGUCUCAGAAACAGGUUUCUGUGAUGAUCUACUUUCCAAUAAGGGAGCAGGUAUAGUUACCUCAUCAAGUUCUACUUUCCUCCCACUCACUUCUUUCGAGAGAAACUCCUUCUCUAGAAAAUUUCCCAAUUUAGCAACAAAAGUUUUUGCCUUCGGAUCUGUGAUAGAAGGUAUACCCAACAGUCUCCUUUGGGUAUCCUAUGAAGACACAUUUCUCCGAUUUGGGUUUGAGCUUAUCAGGAUGAAACUUUUUCACAUAAGCAUCGCAACCCCAAAAUUUUAAGAAACGAGAACUUUGGUUUCUUGCUAAACCUCAGUUCAUAAGGCGUCGUCUCAACGGAUUUUGAUGGUGCCCUAUUUAACGUGAAUGCAGCUGUCUCUAAUGCAUAACCCCAAAACGAUAGUGGUAAAUUGGUAAGAAACAUCAUAGAUUGCACUAUAUCCAAUGAAGUACGGUUAUGACGUUCGGACACACCAUUAUGCUGUGGUGUUCCAGGUGGCGUGAGUAGUGAAACCAUUUCACAUUGUUUUAACUGAAGGCCAAACUCGUAACUUAAAUACUAUUCUCCACGAUCAGAUCGUAGAAACUUUAUUUUCCUGUUACGAUGAUUUUCUGCUUCACUCUGAAAUUAUAUGAACUUUUCAAAUGUUUUAGACUCUUGUUUCAUUAAGUAGAUAUACCCAUAUCUGCUCAAAUCAUCUAUGAAGGUCAGAAAAUAAUGAUACCUGCUACGAGCCUCAAUAUUCAUCGGACCACAUACAUCUGUAUGUAUGAUUUCCAACAAAUCUGUUGCUCUCUCCAUAGUUCCGGAGAACGGCGUUUUAGUCAUCUUGCCCAUGAGGCACGGUUCGCAAGCAUCAAGUGAUUCCAAAAUCACAUCAGUAUGGAGUUUCUUCAUGCGCUUUACACCAAUAUGACCUAAACGGCAGUGCCACAAAUAAGUUGCACUAUCAUUAUUAACUUUGCAUCUUUUGGCUUCAAUAUUAUGAAUAUGUGUAUCACUACGAUCGAGAUCCAACAAACCAUUUUCAUUGGCGUGUAUGACCAUAGAAGGUUUUAUUCAUGUAAACAGAACAACAAUUGUUCUCUAACUUUAAAUGAAUAACCGUAUUGCAAUAAACAUGAUCAAAUCAUAUUCAUGCUCAACGCAAACACCAAAUAACACUUAUUUAGUUUCAACACUAAUCCCGAAAGUAUAGGGAGUGUGCGAUGAUGAUCAUAUCAAUUUUGGAACUACUUCCAACACUCAUCGUCACCUUGCCUUUUACUAGUCUCUGUUUAUUCUGCAAAUCCCGUUUUCGAGUUACUACUCUUUAGCAACUGAACCAGUAUCAAUUACCGAGGGGUUGCUAUAAACACUAGUAAGGUACACAUUAAUAAUCUGUAUAUCAAAUAUACCUUUGUUCACUUUGCCAUCCUUCUUAUCCACCAAAUAGUUGGGGUAGUUCCGCUUCCAGUGACCAGUCCCUUUGCAGUAGAAGCACUUAGUCUCAGGCUUAGGACCAGACUUAGGCUUCUUCACUUGAGCAGCAACUUGCUUGCCGUUCUUCUUGAAGUUCCCCUUCUUCCCUUUGCCCUUUACUUGAAACUAGUGGUCUCGUCAACCAUCAACACUUGAUGUUUUUCUUGAUUUCUACCUUCGUCGAUUUCAGCAUCACGAAGAGCUCGGGAAUUACUUUCGUCAUCCCUUGCAUACUAUAGUUCAUCACGAAGUUCUACUAACUUGGUGAUGGUGACUAGAGAAUUCUGUCAAUCACUAUUUUAUUUGGAAGAUUAACUCCCACUUGAUUCAAGCGAUUGUAGUACCCAGCCAAUCUGAGCAUAUGCUCACUAGUUGAGCGAUUCUCCUCCUUCUUUUAGCUAUAGAACUUGGUGGAGACUUCAUAUCUCUCAACUCGGGUAUUUGCUUGAAAUAUUAACUUCAACUCCUGGAACAUCUCAUAUGGUCCAUGACGUUCAAAACGUCUUUGAAGUCCCGAUUCUAAGCCGUUAAGCAUGGUGCACUAAACUAUCAAGUAGUCAUCAUAUUGAGCUAGCCAAACGUUCAUAACGUCUGCAUCUGCUCCUGCAAUAGGCCUGUCACCUAGCGGUGCAUCAAGGACAUAAUUUUUCUGUGCAGCAAUGAGGAUAAUCCUCAGAUCAAGGAUCCAAUCCGCAUCUUUGCUACUAACAUCUUUCAACAUAAUUUUUCUCUAGGAACAUAUCAAAAAUAAACACAGGGAAGCAACAACGCGAGCUAUUGAUCUACAACAUAAUUUGCAAAAUACUAUCAGGACUAAGUUCAUGAUAAAUUUAAGUUCAAUUAAUCAUAUUACUUAAGAACUCCCACUUAGAUAGACAUCCCUCUAAUCCUCUAAGUGAUCACGUGAUCCAUAUCAACUAAACCAUGUCCGAUCAUCACGUGAGAUGGAGUAGUUUCAACGGUGAACAUCACUAUGUUGAUCAUAUCUACUAUAUGAUUCACGCUCGACCUUUCGGUCUCCGUGUUCCGAGGCCAUAUCUGUUAUAUGCUAGGCUCGUCAAGUUUAACCUGAGUAUUCCGCGUGUGCAACUAUUUUGCACCCGUUGUAUUUGAACGUAGAGCCUAUCGCACCCGAUCAUCACGUGGUGUCUCAGCACGAAGAACUUUCGCAAUGGUGCAUACUCAGGGAGAACACUUAUACUUUGAUAAUUUAGUGAAGGAUCAUCUUAUAAUGCUACCGUCAAACAAAGCAAGAUAAGAUGCAUAAAGGAUUAACAUCACAUGCAAUCAAUAUAAGUGAUAUGAUAUGGCCAUCAUCAUCUUGUGCUUGUGAUCUCCAUCUCUGAAGCACCGUGCUCGUGAUCUCUAUCUCCGAAGCACCGUCAUGAUCACCAUCGUCACCGGCACGACACCUUGAUCUCCAUCGUAGUAUCGUUGUCGUCUCGCCAACUAAUUGCUUUUACGACUAUCGCUACCGCUUAGUGAUAAAGUAAAACUAUUACAUGGUGAUUGCAUCUCAUACAAUAAAGCGACAACCAUAUGGCUCCUGCCAGUUGUCGAUAACUCUGUUACAAAACAUGAUCAUCUCAUACAACAAAUUAUAUCACAUCAUGUCUUGACCAUAUCACAUCACAACAUGCCCUGCAAAAACAAGUUAUACGUCCUCUACUUUGUUGUUGCAAGUUUUACGUGGCUGCUACGGGCUUAGCAAGAACCGUUCUUACCUACGCAUCAAAACCACAACGAUAGUUUGUCAAGUUGGUGUUGUUUUAACCUUCGCAAGGACCGGGCGUAGCCACACUCGGUUCAACUAAAGUGAGAGAGACAGACACCCGCCAGUCACCUUUAAGCAACGAGUGCUCGCAAUGGUGAAACCAGUCUCGCGUAAGCGUACGCGUAAUGUCGGUCCGGGCGCUUCAUCUCACAAUACCGCUGAACCAAAGUAUGACAUGCUGGUAAGCAGUAUGACUUAUAUCGCCCACAACUCACUUGUGUUCCACUCGUGCAUAGCAUCAACGCAUAAAACCAGGCUCUGAUACCACUGUUGGGGAACGUAGUAAUUUCAAAAAAAAUCCUAUGCACACGCAAGAUCAUGGUGAUGCAUAGCAACGAGAGGGGAGAGUGUUGUCCACGUACCCUCGUAGACCGACAGCGGAAGCGUUAUCACAACGCGGUUGAUGUAGUCGUACGUCUUCACGAUCCGACCGAUCAAGUACCGAACGUACGGCACCUCCGAGUUCUACACACGUUCAGCUCGAUAACGUCCCUCGAACUCCGAUCCAGCCGAGUGUUGAGGGAGAGUUUCGUCAGCACGACGGCGUGGUGACGAUGAUGAUGUUCCACCGACGCAGGGCUUCGCCUAAGCUCCGCAACGGUAUUAUCGAGGUGCAAUAUGGUGGAGGGGGGCACCGCACACGGCUAAGAGAUCUCAAGGAUCAAUUGUUGUGUCUCUGGGGUGCCCCCCUGCCCCCGUAUAUAAAGGAGCAAGGGGGAGGCAGCCGGCCAAGGGGAGAGGCGCGCCAUAGGGGGGAGUCCUACUCCCACCGGGAGUAGGACUCCUCCUUUCCUUGUGGGAGUAGGGGAAGGGAAGGGGGAAGGAGAAAGAAGGAAGGGUGCGCCCCCUUUCCCUAGUCCAAUUCGGACCAGACCAUGGGGAGGGGUGCGGCCACCUUUUGAGGCCUUUCUCUCCUUUCCCGUAUGGCCCAUUAAGGCCCAAUACGAAUUCCCGUAACUCUCCGGUACUCCGAAAAAUACCCGAAUCACUCGGAACCUUUCCGAAGUCCGAAUAUAGUCGUCCAAUAUAUCGAUUUUUACGUCUCGACCAUUUCGAGACACCUCGUCAUAUCCCCGAUCUCAUCCGGGACUCCGAACUCCUUCGGUACAUCAAAACUCAAUAAAACUGUCAUCGUAACGUUAAGCGUGCGGACCCUACGGGUUCGAGAACUAUGUAGACAUGACCGAGACACGUCUCCGGUCAAUAACCAAUAGCGGGACCUGGAUGCCCAUAUUGACUCCCACAUAUUCUACGAAGAUCUUUAUCGGUCAGACCGCAUAACAACAUACGUUGUUCCCUUUGUCACCGGUAUGUUACUUGCCCGAGAUUUGAUCGUCGGUAUCUCGAUACCUAGUUCAAUCUCGUUACCGGCAAGUCUCUUUACUCGUUCCGUAACACAUCAUACCACAACUAACUCAUUAGUCACAAUGCUUGCAAGGCUUAUAGUGAUGUGCAUUACCGAGUGGGCCCAGAGAUACCUCUCUGAUAAUCGGAGUGACAAAUCCUAAUCUCGAAAUACGCCAACCCAACAAGUACCUUUGGAGACACCUGUAGAGCACCUUUAUAAUCACCCAUUUACGUUGUGACGUUUGGUAGCACACAAAGUGUUCCUCCGGUAAACGGGAGUUGCAUAAUCUCAUAGUCAUAGGAACAUGUAUAAGUCAUGAAGAAAGCAAUAGCAACAUACUAAACGAUCGAGUGCUAAGCUAACGGAAUGGGUCAAGUCAAUCACGUCAUUCUCCUAAUGAGGUGAUCUCGUUAAUCAAAUGACAACUUAUGUCUAUGGCUAGGAAACAUAACCAUCUUUGAUUAACGAGCUAGUCAAGUAGAGGCAUACUAGUGACACUCUGUUUGUCUAUGUAUUCACACAUGUAUUAUGUUUUCGGUUAAUACAAUUCUAGCAUGAAUAAUAAACAUUUAUCAUGAUAUAAGGAAAUAUAUAAUACUUUAUUAUUGCCUCUAGGGCAUAUUUCCUUCACNNNNNNNNNNGAUCAAGUGCUAAGCCAACGGAAUGGGUCAAGUCAAUCACAUCAUUCUCCUAAUGAUGUGAUCCCGUUAAUCAAAUGACAACUCAUGUCUAUGGCUAGGAAACAUAACCAUCUUUGAUCAACGAGCUAGUCAAGUAGAGGCAUACUAGUGACACUCUGUUUGUCUAUGUAUUCACACAUGUAUCAUGUUUCCGGUUAAUACAAUUCUAGCAUGAAUAAUAAACAUUUAUCAUGAAAUAAGGAAAUAAAUAAUAACUUUAUUAUUGCCUCUAGGGCAUAUUUCCUUCAAGAGCACCCAAACACGAGCAGUUAGUGAGGGAACUGCAGUGCCCAAAGCACGAGGACCACCACUCCGAAUCCCAACUCAACGCUUAAAGGAGAAGAAGAUUUGUUCUCAGGUCAGGUUCUGUAGCUAUGGUUCAUACUCCUUUGCUCUUGCAUUACUGUAUUUACUCAUACCAACUAUUUUCAAUUUUGAAGGAUGGAAUUGAAACUCCAAUGGCGCAACAGGUAUGUUUUAAACCUGUUUCUGUAACUGGUUUGCUGUUGUAACCUGCUCUAUGUUGAUUUCAGUUUCAAUUGAAUAAACAGUUACGUUCUCAUGUCAUGCACAUUACAAGUGUUGUUAUUGCUCUAUAGUUACCCACACUUAUAUUCUGUCUAUUCUGCUUUGUCUUGAACAAAUAUUAUUUGAACUGUGUCUCUAUCUUGAUUUGGCAACAAAAACUAGAAUGAUAUAGACCAUAAAGUGACCAUGGUACAUAGAUAUAUGUUUGUUUCAUGCUGUUAUCCUGUCCACUUUACUAUUGAACUCAUUUACCAAAAUGAGUUUCAUAUACAACAUGGUAAACAUGUGAUGUGUCUGCUUGUUUCUCUUUUAGAAUGCGGACAAAAUAUUGGAGAACAGUACCGCGUUAUCCAAUGGUACAGGAAGUAAUGCAGAUAAGGUUCAAGAUAGUGAGACAUCCCUGUUGGUCUCCAAAAAAGCUGAUAAAAACUAUCUUGACGACAGUGAGGGAACCCAAAAGUCCUGUCUUGAUGUAGUGUUCGAGUUACUGGCCACUACUGCUGGCACAAGCUCUUCGAACUCGCUGCCUGAAUCAGUUCGUCUUCUUGAGUCUCAACUUCAAGUUGAAAGACAUCGAUCAGAUGUGCUGCGACAGGAAGCUGAAGGACUGAGGAAGUCCCUGCAGAAUUCAGAUGCAUAUUUUCUGGUGCAACAGCAAGCGCUGGAGGAUUUAAGCGCCAAACAAGAGAAAGUUAAUAAGCUUGCUAAGCAUCUUGCCAGCAUUAUGGGUACCCAGGAUAUUGUUUCUUGAGAUCUUCUGAAGUGGUUUUAGUUCUGGAUUUGUUUUGCUGCGGCGUUUAUUUGCGUUGGUCGCCAACUUUGACAACCAGUGUAUAUGAUAUGCUGCUUUGUUCCCUAUAUUUGCACUGGUGGCGAACUUUGAUGCCCAGUGGAUGUAAUAUGUGUAAUAGCCGUGAAAGCCUAGCGUUAGUUGCUUGCUUAUUUAUUUCCUUGUUGUCUUGUUUAUUUGUUUGCUUGUAGUCAUUGCAGUUCUUUUUCCGCGGUUAGCUAGUGGCUGCAAUAACCUAUUUUUUAAAACUAGGCCACAAUAACCAUGGGCUAAUAUUUAUUGUAGUGACACUGGGCCUCCUACUGGCCGUAGAAACAGUGGGCCUUCUACGGGCCGUAGAAACAAUGGGCCUUCUACGGGCCGUAGAAACAAUGGGCCUUCUGCGGGUCGUAUCAUCAAUGGGCCUUAUACGGGCCGUAUGAUCGAUUGGCCAAACAUGGGCCAAACAGACCGCAUUAUGGCCGUAAACGGGCUAGAGUUGGAAUCGUCCGUUCAUGGGCCGACCAUAACGGGCCAUCGUUAAUAGGCCGUAUUUGAUGACGCUAUGAAAACGGCCCAACGUAUUAACGGACCACAAACGGGCCGACUAUAACCACGGGCUGAAUUUGGCCCACAAGCAGAAAAUGACAGUAACGGGCCGUAAGUAAACGAAUGAUGUAAAUGAGCCCAAGAAUAAAUGGGCUCUGAGAAGGCCGAAAGAUAACAUGGGCUCGAAACGGCCCAAUGGAAUAACGGGCCGUUAAUGGGUAUAAAGUGAUACACUGUUCAUUACGGGCCAGUUUCACCACGGGCCGUUAAUGGGUGUAAAGUGAUACACUGUUCAUUACGGGCCAAUUUCACCAUGGGCCGUUAAUAGGCCAAGAGUUACAUAGGGCCUCAUAUGGGCCGAAAGACGUCAUGGGCCAUACAUGCGCUAGAAGUGAAAACGGGUGGAAUCAUAUUGGAUGGCCCAGAUGACGCUAUUGGGCCUAAUUCGGAUAGGGCGUAACGGGCCUUGGGUUAGCCGGUUGUAAAUGGGCUAUAUGCGAACAGGCCGUUAACAGGCUUUCCAUGGGCCGGCCCGCCACCUUUUGACCAAGUCAAACGGGCCGGCCUUUUCAGAGGAAUGGGCCUCUGUUGGGCCGUGCCACGUGUCGACGUAUCAUAGGCGCCUUCCGUCCAAUGAGUGGAUGACAUUUGUCCCAACGAUGAGCCAACACGUGUUUCCUCCAGCCAAUGAUGAUUUUACACGUGAAAAUCCCCAUUGGUCGGGGCUGUUAACGGGUUAUCGGAUCCAAAACCCGACCCGAUAGCUUAACGGCAUUCCGUUACGGUGGAUGCCACGUGUCGGUCACCCUUGACGAAAGCACUUCUGUGACGCGCGAUUUAUCGUCAUGGAAGUGGACGCUUCCGUGAUGAUAAUUUUGGCAAUGUCAUGGAACACUUCUACGACAGCACAGGUAUGACUAUCUUGAUUCUGUCAUAAAUUUGUCAUGGAUGUACAUGCAUGACAGAAAACGCGACCUACUGUGACAAACACGUAUCAUCACGGAAGUGUAUUUUUUUUGUAGUGUAAUCAUCCUUUUUAGUAGCUUUAUUUAGUUUGCGGAAAUCAAUUACCAUCCUAUAACCUGUAAUACUUCUUUGCGGGAUCAAUCCAUCUUUAUCAUUAGGAACGACAGUAAUACCUCCCUUCUUAAGGACACAAUGGACAGGACUUACCCACUGACUAUCAGCAACGGGAUAAAUUAUACCUGCCUCAAGGAGCUUUAAUAUUUCCUUUCUUACCACUUCUUUCAUCUUAGGAUUUAGCCGUCGUUGGUGAUCAAUAACUAGUUUGGCGUAUUUCUCCAAAUUUAUUUUGUGUUGACAUAGAGUGGGACUAAUGCCCUUAAGAUCAUCAAGAGUAUAUCCAAUAGCAGCACGGUGCUUCUUCAGAGUUUUCAAUAAUUUUUCUUCCUCCUUCUCUGAAAGGUUAGCACUAAUAAUAACAUGAUAUAUCUCCUUUUCAUCAAGAUAAGCAUAUUUAAGAGUAUCAGGUAACGGUUUAAGCUCAAACACGGGAUCACUCUUGGGUGGAGGAGGAUCCCCUAGGAUUUCAACAGGCAAGUUGUGUUUCAGAAUAGGUCCCUAUUUAAAGAAUACUUCAUCUAUUCCCCUUCUUUCAUUCAUGAACAUAUCAUUCUCAUGGUCGAGCAAAUAUUGUUCUAAAGGAUCAUUAGGAGGCACGGCAAUAGAAGCAAGACCAAUAAUUUCAUCUUUACUAGGCAAUUCCUCAUCACGGUGUUGUGUACUAAAUUUAGCAAAAUUAAACUCAUGAGACAUAUCACCCAAACCAAUAGUAACAACAUUAUUUUUGCAGUCUAUCCUAGAAUUAACAGUGGGGUCUACCAAAUAUGAUGGGACAAAAGCUAUCUUGUGGGGAACUAAGAACAAGAAAAUCAGCAGGAUAUUUAACCUUCCCACACAAGACUUCAACAUCUCUAACAAUCCCAAUCGGUGAAAUAGUAUCUCUAUUGGCAAGCUUAAUGGUAACAUCGAUAUCUUCUAUCUCAGCAGGUGCAAUAUCAUGCAUAAUUUCUUCGUAUAAAGAAUGAGGUAUUGCACUAGCACUAGCACCCAUACCACACAAGCCAUGAUAACAAUGAUCGCCUAUUUUAACAGAAAUAACGGACAUGCCUACCACAGGUCUAUGUUUAUCUUUAGCACCAGGUUUAGCAAUUCUAGCAGUCUCAUUACAGAAGUAAAUAACAUGCCCAUCGAUAUUAUCAGCCAAUAGAUCUUUAACCAUAGAAAUUUUAGGUUCAACUUUAACUUGCUCAGGGGGUUUAUGUGUCCUAAUAUUACUUUUGUUCACUACAGUUGAAGCUUUAGCAUGAUCUUUUAUUCUAACAGGGAAAGGUAGUUUCUCAACAUAAGCAGUAGGAACAGUAGGAUCAUUAUAAGUGAUAGUCUUUUCUUCAACUUUAAUAGGUGCAACUACUUUUACUUCAAUGGGAGGAUUAUAUUUAAACCACUUCUCCUUAGGGAGAUCAACAUGAGUAGCAAAUGAUUCACAGAAAGAAGCUACUAUCUCAGAGUCAAGUCCAUAUUUAGUGCUAAAUUCACGGAAAGCAUCGGUAUCCAUAAAAGAUUUAACACAAUCAAACUUAGGUGUUAUACCUAACUCUUUACCUUCGUCGAGGUCCCAAUCUUCAGAGUUGCGUUUAAUUCUUUCCAAUAAAUCCCAUUUGAAUUCAAUAGUCUUCAUCAUAAAGGAGCCAGUACAAGAAGUAUCGAGCAUGGAUUGAUUAUUACGAGAAAGCCGAGCAUAAAAAUUCCGAAUAAUCAUUUCUCUUGAGAGCUCAUGAUUGGGGCAUGAAUAUAACAUUGACUUAAGCCUCCCCCGAGCUUGAGCGAUGCUUUCUCCUUCGUGAGGCCAAAAAUUAUAUAUAUAAUUACGAUCACGAUGAACAAGAUGCAUAGGAUAAAACUUCUGAUGAAAUUCCAAUUUCAAUCGUUUGUAGUUCCAUGAUCCCAUAUCAUCACAUAGCCUAUUCCAUGUCAAUGCAUCUCCCUUCAAAGAUAAAGGGAAGACCUUCUUCUUAUUGAUAACAUCAUCGGGCCUACCUGCAAGCUUAAAUAAUCCACAAACUUCAUCCACAUAGAUUAAGUGUAAAUCGGGAUGCAAUGUUCCAUCUCCUGUAAAAGGAUUAGCCAGCGGUUUCUCUAUCAUACCCGAAGGAAUUUCAAAGUAAACAUUUUCAGUAGGUUCAGUAGGUUGAGGAGCAACUAUUUGCUCUACUGGUCGGUGUGAAGAUACCCCGAACAAGCCCCUCAAAGGAUUACUUUCCAUAGUAGCAAGUGACAGUGAAUUUCAGCACACUAUAUAAAUUUUUCCUUACCAAAUUCCACUUACCAAAGGUGCUUCACUCCCCGGCAACGGCGCCAGAAAAGAGUCUGAUGACCCACAAGUAUGGGGGAUCUAUCAUAGUCCUUUCGAUAAGUAAGAGUGUCGAACCCAACGAGGAGCAAAAGGAAAUGACAAGCGGUUUUCAGCAAGGUAUUUUCUGCAAGCACUGAAAUUAUAGGUAACAGAUAGUUUUGUGAUAAGGUAAUUUGUAACGAGUAACAAGUAACAAGUGUAAAUAAAGUGCAGCAAGGUGGCCCAAUCCUUUUUGUAGCAAAGGACAAGCCUGGACAAACUCUUAUAUAGAGAAAAGCGCUCCCGAGGACACAUGAGAAUUAUCGUCAAGCUAGUUUUCAUCACGCUCAUAUGAUUCGCGUUCGGUACUUUGAUAAUUUGAUAUGUGGGUGGACCGGUGCUUGGGUGCUGUCCUUACUUGGACAAGCAUCCCACUUAUGAUUAACUCCUAUUGCAAGCAUCCUCAACUACAAAAGAAGUAUUAAGGUAAACCUAACCAUAGCAUGAAACAUAUGGAUCCAAAUCAACCCCUUACGAAGCAACGCAUAAACUAGGGUUUAAGCUUCUGUCACUCUAGCAACCCAUCAUCUACUUAUUACUUCCCAAUGCCUUCCUCUAGGCCCAAACAAUGGUGAAGUGUCAUGUAGUCGACGUUCACAUAACACCACUAGAGGAAAGACAACAUACAUCUCAUCAAAAUAUCGAACGAAUACCAAAUUCACAUGACUACUAAUAGCAAGACUUCUCCCAUGUCCUCAGGAACAAACGUAACUACUCACAAAUCAUAUUCAUGUUCAUAAUCAGAGGGGUAUUAAUAUGCAUAAAGGAUCUGAACAUAUGAACUUCCACCAAAUAAACCAACUAGCAUCAACUACAAGGAGUAAUCAACACUACUAGCAAUCCACAUGUACCAAUCUGAGGCUUUGGGACAAAGAUCGGAUACAAGAGAUGAACUAGGGUUUGAGAGGAGAUGGUGCUGGUGAAGAUGUUGAUGAAGAUUGACCCCCUCCUGAUGAGAGGAUCGUUGGUGAUGAUGAUGGCGAUGAUUUCCCCCUCCCGGAGGGAAGUUUCCCCGGCAGAGCAGCUCUGCCGGAGCCCUAGAUUGGUUCCGCCUCGUGGCGGCGGAAUUUUUUUCCCGAAAGCUUGCUUCUGAUUUUUUCAGGGUAAAAGACUUCAUAUAGCAGAAGAUGGGCACCGGAGGCCUGCUAGGGGGCCCACGAGGCAGGGAGGCGCGCCCCCCACCCUCGUGGCCAGGGUGUGGGCCCCCUCUGGUAUUUUCUUUGCUCAGUAUUUUUUAUAAAUUCCAAAUGACUUCCGUGAAGUUUCAGGACUUUUGGAGUUGUGCAGAAUAGAUCUCCAAUAUUUGCUCCUUUUCCAGCCUAGAAUUCCAGCUGCCGGCAUUCUUCCUCUUCAUGUAAACCUUGUAAAAUAAGAGAGAAUAGGCAUAAGUAUUGUGACAUAACGUGUAAUAACAGCCCAUAAUGCAAUAAAUAUCGAUAUUAAAGCAUGAUGCAAAAUGGAUGUAUCAGGUCUCCUCCAUCCUGGGUAUGAUCUCCGCCCUUGCGGUCAGGGUGGAGCACCACUGCCAAACCUGCUGUGCGAAGGCACAUCCUAAGAGCAAAUGCUGCAUGGUCUCCUCAGGUUGGUCACAAAACGGGCAGGUGACUUGGUGAGGUAGGCCUCUCUGCGCCAGCCUGUCGGAGGUCCAGCAUCUGUUUCUGAUUGCCAGCCACGCGAAAAAACAGCACCUCAACGGAGCCCUCGAUUUCCAGGAAAACGCCGCCGUGGGUGAGAUUUGCCGGCCCAUAUACUUGGCCGCGUUCGCCGACUUUGCCGAGAACGUGCCAUUUCCUUCCCAGGACCAACUCACCCCAUCCUCCACCCCUUCUGUCAGCCGAAUCUCAGUCAAGCUCGUCCAUAGACGUAAGAACUCCUCCAGCUCUGGCAGGGAAAGAUUUGGGCCAACGUCAGCAGCCCAUGUCCCGUUGGGCAGUGCAUCUGACACCAAUGUUUCCCUCCUAAUCCUCGGAGAAAUUCUGCUGUAUAGCACCAGCGCGAGUUCACUUAUCCUGUCCCCCUCGACCCAACGGUCCUCCCAAAACAAGGUGUUCCUACCGUCUCCCAGCGUCGUUCGCGUGGCCGCCUGAGCCAAAUCCAAAGACUCCGGUGGCACAGAAAUUGAAAAUUCCGCCCAAGAUUUCCAUCGGUCUACCCUUUGCAACCAAGGGCAUCGAGCCUGAAGAGCCUUGUUCAACCAACGUAGAUCCUUAUUUUCAUGGAAGAUAUUAAAAAGAUGAAGCAUGUGAGGUACCCUCAAUUCUAUUUUUUUGUAGUUUUCUUUUAUAAACUAAACUAGUGAUAAAACAAGAAACUAAAAGAUUUGAUUGCAAGAUCUAAAGAUAUACCUUCAAGCACUAACCUCCCCGGCAACGGCGCCAGAAAAGAGCUUGAUGUCUACUACGCAACCUUCUUCUUGUAGACGUUGUUGGGCCUCCAAGUGCAGAGGUUUGUAGGACAGUAGCAAAUUUCCCUCAAGUGGAUGACCUAAGGUUUAUCAAUCCCUGGGAGGCGUAGGAUGAAGAUGGUCUCUCUCAAACAACCCUGCAACCAAAUAACAAAGAGUCUCUUGUGUCCCCAACACACCCAAUACAAUGGUAAAUUGUAUAGGUGCACUAGUUCGGCGAAGAGAUGGUGAUACAAGUGCAAUAUGGAUGGUAGAUAUAGGUUUUUGUAAUCUGAAAUUAUAAAAACAGCAAGGUAACUAUUGAUAAAAGUGAGCACAAACGGUAUUGCAAUGCUAGGAAACAAGGCCUAGGGUUCAUACUUUCACUAGUGCAAGUUCUCUCAACAAUAAUAACAUAAUUGGAUCAUAUAACUAUCCCUCAACAUGCAACAAAGAGUCACUCCAAAGUCACUAAUAGCGGAGAACAAACGAAGAGAUUAUGGUAGGGUAUGAAACCACCUCAAAGUUAUUCUUUCUGAUCAAUCUAUUCAAGAGUCCGUAGUAAAAUAACACGAAGCUAUUCUUUCCGUUCGAUCUAUCAUAGAGUUCGUACUAGAAUAACACCUUAAGACACAAAUCAACCAAAACCCUAAUGUCACCUAGAUACUCCAAUGUCACCUCAAGUAUCCGUGGGUAUGAUUAUACGAUAUGCAUCACACAAUCUCAUAUUCAUCUAUUCAACCAACACAAAGAACUUCAAAGAGUGCCCCCAAGUUUCUACCGGAGAGUCAAGACGAAAACGUGUGCCAACCCCUAUGGAUAAGUUCACAAUGUUACGGAACCCGCAAGUUGAUCACCAAAACAUACAUCAAGUGGAUCGCGUGAAUAUCCCAUUGUCACCACAGAUAAGCACAUGCAAGACAUACAUCAAGUGUUCUCAAAUCCUUAAAGACUCAAUCCGAUAAGAUAACUUCAAAGGGAAAACUCAAUUCAUUACAAGAGAGUAGAGGGGGAGAAACAUCAUAAGAUCCAACUAUAAUAGCAAAGCUCGCGAUACAUCAAGAUCGUGCCAAAUCAAGAACACGAGAGAGAGAGAGAGAGAGAGAGAGAGAGAGAUCAAACACAUAGCUACUGGUACAUACCCUCAGCCCCGAGGGUGAACUACUCCCUCCUGGUCAUGGAGAGCACCGGGAUCAUGAAGAUGGCCACCGGUGAUGGAUGUCCCCUCCGGCAGGGUGCCGGAACAGGGUCCCGAUUGGUUUUUGGUGGCUACAGAGGCUUGCGGCGGCGGAACUCCCGAUCUUGGUUAUGUUUUGGGGGUUUCUGUAUAUAUAAGAGGUUUUGGCGCCAGGGACAAGUCAGGGGGGUCUCUGAGGCGGCCACGAGGUAGGGGGCGCGCCCCCCACCCUCGUGGGUGCCUCGGGGCUCUUCUAGUCCAUCUUCGAUGCUCCGUGGGCUUCUUCUGGUCCAAAAAUAAUCUCCGUCAAAUUUCAGGUCAAUUGGACUCCGUUUGGUUUUCCUUUUCUGCAAUACUCAAAAACAAGAAGAAAAAAAACAGAAACUGGCACUGGGCUCUAGGUAAUAGGUUAGUCCAAAAAAUCAUAUAAAAUAGCAUAUAAAUGCAUAUAAAACAUCCUAGAUGGAUAAUAUAAUAGCAUGGAACAAUCAAAAAUUAUAGAAACGUUUUUUUUGACAGAAAGACUGUAAGGGAACCCCCUACAGUAUAAUUGGUGCAACAAAUCCAAAUUGCAAGUACCAUGUCUUGAACCUGGGUGGGUAGGAAGGCAUCAGCCCCUUCCCACCACUAGGCUAUGCCUUAGUCUGCAAAAUUAUAGAUACGUUGGAGACGUAUCAUCUACUACACAACCUUCUUCUUGUAGACGUUGUUGGGCCUCCAAGUGCAGAGGUUUGUAGGACAGUGGCAAAUUUUCCUCAAGUGGAUGACCUAAGGUUUGUCAAUCCGUGGGAGGCGUAGGAUGAAGAUGGUCUCUCUCAAACAACCCUGCAACCAAAUAACGAAAAGUCUCUUGUGUCCCCAACACACCCAAUACAAUGGUAAAUUGUAUAGGUGCACUAGUUCGGCGAAGAGAUGGUGAUACAAGUGCAAUAUGGAUGGUAGAUAUGGGUAUUUGUAAUCUGAAAAUAUAAAAACAGCAAGGUAGCAAGUGGUAAAAGUGAGCGUAAACGGUAUUGCAAUGCUAGGAAACAAGGCCUAGGAUUCAUACUUUCACUAGUGCAAGUUCUCUCAACAAUGAUAACAUAAUUAGAUCAUAUAACAAUCCCUCAACAUGCAACAAAGAGUCACUCCAAAGUCACUAGUAGCGGAGAACAAACGAAGAGAUUAUUGUAGGUACGAAACCACCUCAAAGUUAUUCUUUCCGAUCAAUCCAUUGGCUAUUCAUAUAAGUGUCACAAACAGCCCUAGAGUUCGUAGUAAAAUAACACCUUAAGACACAUAUCAACCAAAACCCUAAUGUCACAUAGAUACUCCAAUGUCACCACAAGUAUCCGCGGGUAUGAUUAUACGAUAUGCAUCACACAAUCUCAGAUUCAUCUAUUCAACCAACACAAAGAACUCCAAAGAGUGCCCCAAAGUUUCAACCGAAGAGUCAAGACGAAAACGUGUGCCAACCCCUAUGCAUAGAUUCCCAAGGUCAGAGAACCCGCAAGUUGAUCACCAAAACAUACAUCAAGUGAAUCAAUAGAAUACCCCAUUGUCACCACGGGUAUCCCACGCAAGACAUACAUCAAGUGUUCUCAAAUCCUUAAAGACUCAAUCCGAUAAGAUAACUUCAAAGGGAAAACUCAAUCCAUUACAAGAGAGUAGAGGGGGAGAAACAUCAUAAGAUCCAACUAUAAUAGCAAAGCUCGCGAUACAUCAAGAUCGUGCCAUAUCAAGAACACGAGAGAGAGAGAGAGAGAGAGAGAGAGACCAAACACAUAGCUACUGGUACAUACCCUCAGCCCCGAGGGUGAACUACUCCCUUCUCGUCAUGGAGAGCGCCGGGAUGAUGAAGAUGGCCACAGGUGAUGAUUCCCCUCUCCGGCAGGGUGCCGGAACAGGGUCCCGAUUGGUUUCUGGUGCCUACAGAGGCUUGCGGCGGCGGAACUCCCGAUCUAGGUUUCUUUCUGGGGGUUUCUGUAUUUAUAGGAAUUUUUGGCGUCGGUCUCACGUCAGGGGGGUCUCCGAGUCAUCCACGAGAUAGGGGGACGCGCCCAGGGGGGUAGGGCGCGCCCUCCACCCUCGUGGAUGGCUCGGGACUCUUCUGGCCCAACUCUUUUACUCCAGGGGCUUCUUUUGGUCCAUCAAAAAUCAUCAAAAAUGGGCACGUCAAUUGGAGUCCGUUUGGUAUUCUUUUUCUGUAAAACCUAAAAACAAGGAAAAAACAGAAACUGGCACUAGGCUCUAGGUUAAUAGGUUAGUCCCAAAAAUCAUAUAAAACAACAUAUAAAUGCAUAUAAAACAUCCAAGAUGGAUAAUAUAAUAGCAUGAAACAAUCAAAAAUUAUAGAUACGUUGGAGACGUAUCACCGUGUGAUCAACAGUUGGCCAACAUAAUCUCACAUUGCCACCUUUGGGACUCCACGAGCAACCUAGGUAGCACCUUCAAUGAGGAGACGAUGAUGCGACAUUGCCACUCGCUAGCCCGGUAGUGGGACCCUAGAGCUUCCCCCGAUGUUCAAAGAGGGGGAGCACGACCACUGCCAUGCCAACACCUCCAAGGAGCGGAUGACACCCACAAGAGUUGAUGUCAUCAUCAUAAACAUCAAGAAGCAGCAAUUUCUCCAAAACCAUGACUGCCAUUCACGUAGCUUGCCGGAACACGGGAAAAUCUAAGACGAAGCUCACCCACUUAACGACGAGAAGAUUAGUCGUAUCGCCUUUGGCGAAGGUUGGAGGCGCCGACCACCGUUGGGUCUACCACGGGCAGAAGCACCCCCACUGGAGGCAGCCUCCAACAGGAUGAUCCGCCCGCCAACAUACCCUCGACCACCAUGGGCUACAACUAUGCAGAAGGGAGCCCAAACCACCGCUGGUCGCAACGCCCGACCGCCAUGCUACUCAUGGCCACAUCGCUAAAGCCUAGGGGCACCGUCUGAUACCCGAAUCUCAUAGAUGGUCGUCGCCGACUGGGUCUAGGCAGGGAAGGCCCAUACCCCGUUGCCAACAGACUCCAUGACAACCACUAAAGCCCCGGUCCGCCGACGAAUGCCCGAGCCUCGUCGCUAGAUGUCACCUACGCCAACGGAUGUCACGACUAGCCACCGUCUUGCCCUCUCAGCCAGAGCGGCCUGACCACCGCCGAAAUGUCUCGAGGCGGCCGCCAUUGUCCAAGCUUUGUCGACGUGAGCAAACCUGGAAGACUCUUGGGGCACAAGGAGGCAAGCCCACCGAUGUAUUACGCUAGGCAAGCUUUGCCCACCGAAUUCCUUUACCGCCAUCACUAACCUCGAUCCUUGAAGGCUCAUAGCGCAUCAGGACUUCAGGAGGUAACCCCGUUGCCGUUGUCCACCAGAAAGGCUUUUUUCAUCGGCUUCCUCUAGCGGCGGUGAUUAGGGUAUUUCUGGACCGGUCCCAAGAACAAUGUUGGUGUCCUUUCCCCAAAUAAAAUAUCUUAUUAUGCACAUGUACUCCCCCCGGUCCUUUUUACUCUACAUAUAAGAUUUCUCUAAAGUCAAACAAUAUAAAAAUAAUUAAAUUCACAUCGCAUAUAAUAAUAUUGAUUUCGUAUUACGAAUAUUGAUAUCUUUUUACAAUACAUAUCAGAUUUCUCCGAAGUCAAACUUUGUAAAGUUAUACAAUAUAAAAAUAAUUAAAUUUACAACUCAUAUUGUGGAUAUUGAUGUUUUUUUUCAAUAAAAUUGGUCAAACAUUACAAAGUUCGACUUUAAACAAAUUUUACGUGGAGAGUACAGUGGAUCGGAGGGAGCAAAGUGAUAGUCAGCGCCAAAGCAUGUAAUGGUCACGCCGCACGCCACGAAGCUCACAGUAGAGGAAUAAGGAGACCACAACUUACACUAUAUAACAGAAGAGCCUAUUGUGCGAGUAGAGAUCGUGCUAGUUCAAGGUCAAGCAACACAUACAACGCAGAACAGGAUGUGUGCCCAUAGAUGAUCGGCCAUCUGUCUCGUGUCAAUACGCGAUGACGAAAUGUACAACGCAAACCGAGACUACAACAAACAACUCAUCAGAACAAUUACAAACGAUGCAAAGUUCCCAGAAGAUCAUAAUAUCGAAGCUAACAGCCACCAUCUUUACAUAAGCAGCUUCAAUAAAAUUAUUGGCCAAAAGACAACAAUAUCCGAACACAAGGUGGAAAGUAUCGUGACGAUUCAUCAUCAUCGUAAAACAACGGGUGGCCACCCAAGUAAGCCACGUCAGUCGAAUUUGCCUACCAUUAUUGACAGCUUUGUGGGUUUGCAAAAGGAAGAGAGGGGCAAGGAAAACGAAGACUCAAAAAAUUCCUCCACUUCGGCACAUAAUGUGCGUGGAUGUGGCCUUAAUAUACUGAUGCCAAAACAAGCAAUCAUCUUGCCUUUGCAGACUGUAAACAUGGUACACCGCUGGUCGAAUCAUCUAG